GGGGGGGGGGUGGUAGAAUGUGGUUCACGGGCGUAGAAAGCACGUGGGGAUAUGCAUGUGCAUGUGAAUGAGAUGGCUUUAUCUUGAUAAAGGGAAAGGAAGGUAGGGCUUUGAUACUGAGAUGUCAUGUCACUCACAUUUCUAACCCUUCUCUCUCUCACUGCGUAAAUGAAAUUGAAAGGGAUAACUGCUCACUCGACCUUUAUUAAAGCCGCUCUAACUUGUCUUGUUUUAUUUACUUAUUCAUCCCCCAAAACAAGACAAUGAAGUGAAAGACCCUCGAGACUCAUGCCGGCAACCUUCCACUGAAUCACAAUUACAACACCACUUUUUUGCUUUUUUAUUUAUAAAAAUAACAUCAUAUGGGUUGUUUUGUUUGUUUAAAACGCCCGGUUUUAUCGUACUCUUAACCCGAUGCCUAAUGUCUUCCUUACAAUGACUGUUCAUCCCCAUGCACUCACAUACGUUAAAAUUUUCUCUCCCACUACAUUCCAAAUUUAUUGAAUUAUUGUUAAUAUAGAAAGUGGAUUUCGGAGAAAUAAUUAAGUAGGAUAAUGGAAUUUGUUUUCAUUAAUAAGUCUAACUAAGGAGUUCAUGCUCAUUUUAACAUUACAUUAAACUUGAAUUCUUACUAUUUCGGCUCAAUAAAACAUAUUUCCUAUGGAAAUACAACAAUUAUUGUUUUUGAGUUUUUGAAUUUUAGAUUCAUCAAUUUGUUUAUAUUCAAACCUGUUUUAGGUUUUAAAUGAUAGGUAGCAUUGUUACCAUACUUGUUUGAAUUACACGUGUUUGUUACAUUUUCUUUUGUUGUUUUUUUUUUUUUUUUGCUUUUAAUGCAUAAUUCUAAUUUCAAACAUAAUAAUUUAAAGUACUACUGAUAUAGUAUACCCAAUAUUUUAUCUAAUAACUUAAUCUCAAAAAUCUUAACAUAAUUAGAUUAUUUUUAAUUCGAGCUAACUUUUUAUGAUGAGAAAUAAUAAUAUGUAACUUUCUUAUUAUCUAACAUUUUAAACUAAUUUUACUUAUCUUUUAUGUUUAAGGCUUAUCUCUUUUGGUCAUGUUGCCAUGCGUAUUGCAUUUUGAAGAGAAAGACUCAAGUUCAAAUUUUGAAGACAAUAUUAUUGAAAGGGACAACCAUAAACCUUACAAGAAUUAAUCUUUAUAAAUUUUAAAAUUGAUUAAAAAAAGUGACUUUGAUCUUAUUUUAUUUUCAUCUUUUAUUAACAAUAAUAUGAUACAAAAUGAUAUUUAUGUCUUAUCAUAUUAAUGGUGUUUAGGUUUUUUUUAAAAUAUUUUUAUUAUCAAACCAUUUGUUUUUUUUCCCUACAUUUAGUAUUAUAUGUAUUUAAUAAAAGAAUUUGAAAAAUUGAAAAAUUAAGUAGUAAAUUGAAUUUGCAUUAUAAAAUUAGUUGAUAAGUUAGUAAAAUUAAGCGUUGAAUAUAAUUAUUUUGUUUGAUGAUAAUAAUUUUUUAUUUUUGAAAUAAUUUUAAUUUUAUCAUAUGGUAUUAUUUAUUUUGUUUUGAAUAGUUUUGGAUAAAAUAUAAAGAUAACAAUUUUAAUAUUUUAAUUUUUAAUAAAACAAGAAAAUAAUUGAUUUAAAAAAUAAGGAUUUGAAAAAUAAAAUCUAACUUAAUAUUCUUGACAUUAAGUUAUAAGUAGCUAUCUACUCACUUAUCAUAUUCAACAUUAUUUUUUGUUGAAAAUUUUAUAUUAAGUAAAAAUUUAAUAUGGUUAUUAAACACAAUUAAAAAAAAUUAAAUAUUGAAAUUUUUUAUUUUCAAUUAAAUGAAAAUUUUUAAAUGGUUAAUCAAAUUUGGGUGAAGGAUUUACAUUUGGGGUUUUAUUUAGAUCAAAAUUUUCAAAAUUCUAAAAACUAAUUUAGGGUAAAUAUAUUAGAGAUGUUCAAAUUAUGUGAGUAUUUUUAAAAGGGGAUUUCGGUAGCUCAAUUUCUUUUUUAAAAUUUCACCUAAAGAGGUAGUUUUUCAAAAUUCUUCAUAUUUUUUUUUAUUUACUACACACGUUUUAAUUAUAAAAUAAAAAAUUAAUUUUUCAAAAAUCAUUUUUAUUUAAUUCUAAUAUAUAUUUUUUUAAAAAUUUAUUUUAUUAAAACUAUUUAUAAAAAAAUACAAACAUAGUGAUGCACAUAACAAAAUGUUGAAUCUAAUCCAUUAUUCAUGUUUGUUUUGAUUUCUUUAUUUAUUUGAGGUUAUUUGCAAACUCUAUAAUAUUACUUGUUGAUUUUUGUUUCUUGGUUGCAAGACACUAGGAUCAGUCUAGAGCUUCCCAUGCACCAUCAAUUUGUUUAUUGAACUUGAAGAAACUUCAAAUUCACUCGGGAAUUUGUGGACGCUAGCACUACCCUCUAUCAUAUUUAUAUUGGAUUAGGUUAAUCGUUUCUUUUGAUUUGCUUAUCCUACCUUAAGUUGAGACAACAUUACAAGCCUAAAAGCCUUAUCAAUCUCGGAAGCUGCACUAAAGUAAUAAGGUGGAGUUUAGAAAAGGUUAGUAUGUAUACUUAGCUAAGUCUAUUUCUACCUUUCAUUAUCUUGUUCUAUUUGAACUAUGGUGAUUGGUUACACAACUUAAGCACACAAACACCAAGCAUUGAUGUCUUGAAUCUUUUCAGCACCAUCACUUAUCGCUGUUUCUUCCACAUUUAUAUCACCAUUCUUAUUUCAUUAAUAAGCCUACUAACGAUCUUUAGGCUUUAUGAUAAACUCCUGGUUCCUAAAGUUAUUUUUCAUGCACUAACAGUCAUCUUUGUUACAUAUUGUUUGAUUUCUUAGUAGUUUUGCUUAGGGACAAGGGGGAAUAUGAUGAGUGUAUAAUUUAACUAUAUUUUAAAUCAUUUUUCAUUUUAGUUUUAGCUUGUUUUGGGGUGAAUUCACUUAUUUAUUAUGGUCAAUUAAGUGUUUAGGGUAGAAUGUAGAUUCAGUAGCUAUUUUACUUUGAUUUUUAGUGUUUCUAAUGUUUUAAGUUAUGGUUGAGCCUAAUUGCAGUUCUUUGGUGAAGGUAAUGACUUGACCUAUAAUGUGCUUUUAGAAGUUGCAAUUUUGGGGGCCAACGUUGCAAUGUUGAGCGAAUGUCAUGAUAUUGCUAAACAGAAAUCAAUGUCACAACGUUUUAAUGAUUUUAAUUAAACUUUAUUGAGCGGAUUAUUCCAAGGGACCUUACAAAAAGAAGAGACAAUGUUGCGACGCUAUGCAAAUUACAAGGUUUUAAUGCAAGGUAAAAAUGACUUUUCCAACACUGAAAUCCUACCAUAUAAAUGGUUCAUUUUCGGUUGUUUUAGCAGAGAAUUUUUGGAGUGCAACAAAGGUUUUUCUUUAGUUUUCUCUUUUGAAAGUUUUUCUCUUAAUUCUUUUAAGUUUUCUUUAGGUUUUCUUCUUAGUUAUGGUUUAAUUUAUUUCUCUUUUUGUAAAUAUAUUUAUAUUAAUAUCAAAUUGGUCGAAAAAAUCAAUUGUAAGAGGUUUUAAUUGUUGGGCAUUCGACAUUUUAGAGUUUCUACUAUAUAUUUGAAUAUUUAUUUUUGGUAUAAAAAGAAGGAUUAAACCAUAACUAAAUUAUGUGGAGUCAAGACAUUUCAAAAUAAUCAUCAUGUAGUAAUAGAAAUAGAAAGACUUUACUUAACGGUUGUAUAAAGAAAUACUUUGAAAACGCCAUUAAAAUUAACUCAUCUACUACUUUCUCUCAUCUUUUUACAUUUUGCAAUAUUCUGUAGUUGAAUUUUGUGUUUAUUUUGAUUAUGUGGGCCAUUGAUUUUCUCUGUGGUUAGUGAUGAGAUGAUUGGGUGAUUGGCUUCUUGUGAUUUACUUGCUAAUUAGGAGAACUUAUUACCGCUAAGGAGGGACAACUCUAUGUUGGGUUGGUGUAGAGAAGAUUUUGCACAUUUACUACAAUCGUCUAAUUUGCACACAAAGCACUGAAUUCGAGAGAUGAAGUGAAUGGUAGCCCAAAAUUAACGAGAGCUAGGAGUUAAAAGGUGAUUUCUAUGUGAGAACCGUAUAGAGAGAGCUUAGGGGAUGUGAGUAGUAACCAUAUAAUUAGAAGCAACGAGUCUUGGUUCAAUCGUUAAAUCACUAACUGCACCAUACAAUUAUUCAUUCUUCAAAUUUCACUUAAAAAUGAAUUUUUUUUAUUAAAUUUCUCAUAAUCUUAUUUCAUUUAGUAAAAUUAGUCCCAAUAUAUAUAUAUAAAAAAAAACUUAAACAUUAGAAUAUCAUUUUUAUUUAAAAUUUAAAAGUUUAUAUCAUUAAAAAUUGUUUAUGAUGUUUAAAACUAUAAAAAAAAAGUGUUAUUAUAAUUUAUGAUUAUUGUUGAUAUAAAGUGAAAACAUAAAAAAUAAUUUGACAAUAUAAGUAAACUACUAUGAAUUUUUAUAUAAAAAAGGUGAAGAUUAAAUUAACCCAAAAAAGGGUAUUUUUUAGGUGUAAAUUAAUAAUGAACUGAAAGAGUGGAAGGGGACAAAGACAAAAAGUGCCAUAACUACAAAGAAAGCAUGUCCGUCGCUUUUCACAAAGUAGCAAGUCUAUGGAUAUAAAAGUGACACAUACAUCAAUUUUUUAUGGAUAAAAUUAACCUUAAAAGCGGCUACUUCAUCAUCAUUUAAUUAGAGGAGAAUCCCCUCACUCUUUCUAUCCUUUAUUUACUAAAUCAUUUUUCAUUAAAACAAUACAAUAUAUAUAUCAUUUCAAAUUAAAAUUAAAUAUUGUCUUUAAAUUAAAAUUAAUUAGUUAAUAAACGAUUAUUUACUAAAAUAUCCAUAUCAAAAUUAUUUAUGUAAAAUAUUAAAUUCCUUUUCAUUUCUCUAUUUCCAUAUUUAUUAUUCUCUUUCCUUUCUCGUAUUUGAUUCUCUAUUUUCCUUUUCCAUUCAAAUUUCCCUUCUUUAUUUUAUUUUAUUUCCCUUCUUUUUUUCUCAAUUGAAAACCUAGUUAUUGUAUUCAAUAGCCACCAAUGUUGUCAUUUACAGCGACUUUUCAUGUCGAUUUCGAUACUAAAGAAGAGAUUUCCUCCUUCUUGUUUACUUCUACGGUUCAGACGACUUAGUAGCCGGCUCCAAAUCUUCUAAAACAAUGACCAAAUCUUCAAACUAAUACUGUUUUACAAUGAUUUUUAAAAAAAACCACUGUUGUCGCUUGACACGACUACGACACCUAAAAAAUAUAUUUUUUAAAAUUUUUAACAAGUGAUCCCUGACAUACCGAUGACACCUAUUUUUUUUUUUUGAAAAUUUCUCCGAUGCCACCUGAUAGACCAACAACACCCAUUAAAAAAUAUUUUUUACUUUUUUUUCCUCCCUGAAUACUCGUAUUUUUAACGAGUAGUUUGAAAAUUAUAUAUUGGUGCUGCUUGACACAAUGGUGACACCCAAAAAAGUUAAUAUUUUUUUAAAAAGCCAAUGAUUGACUAAUGAUGAGAGGGAAAUGUUGUCAGCCUGUUAGGCGGUAUCGAUGACCACUGUGGAGAACAAGUCAUUUACGUACAUAAGUUUUGACUUGAUCAUUUUCGUAAAUAAUUAAUUGUUUUGAGCUAGUUAAUGAAAAAUAACUAAAUUAAAAUAAAGAAAUAAAAAAGAAAAACGAGAAAGAGAAUUCAUCUCAAAGUUAACGAAUACAAUUAAAUUAAAAAUUAAAUAGGUAUCAUGUGGUACUUUUUUAAUUGAUAUAAUAACAAUUUUAGUCCUCAAAUUUCAUGCUUUCUAUCAAUUUGACCCUAAUUAUAUAUAAUAUAAUAAAAAAACUCAAUUACUUAAAAAAUAAAAUUUUUGUUCUUUUUAACGAAAAAAAAGCUAUCUAAAAAAACCGAAUAGGUAAAAAAAUAAAGAAUCACUAAUUUUGCUUAAUGUUUUUAACAAAAAUGAGUAUUGAAUAUUUAUAUGCAGAUAAUACAGAACGAAAAUUUGAAGGGUUUAAAAACAAAUUUCCCACAUUUUUCUAGCUUUAUCUCUUUUUGAAAAUUUAUUUGCUUCUAUUUUAAUUUUUAAAAUUUUAUAAAUUAAAAAAAAUCAAUUUUUAUCAUUUUAUAUAUCAUGAAUAAUUAGGGUCAAAUUGAUAGAAAAUAAAAAAUGGAGAACUAAAAUUAUUAUCAUACCAACUAAAAAAUACCACUUAAUAGUUAGAUGACCAAAAAACAAGUUCUACAACUUUAGUGAUAGAAUUAUAACUUUUUUUAAUUAAAUGAUCAAAAUAAAAAUUUAUUAAUAAUUUAGUGACUAAUAAUAUGGUUUACCCAUAGUGUAAUUUGUUGAGCUUUGUUUAUCAAUUGAUCAUGUGAUAAGGAUAGAUAAAACCCAAUGCGACUCGUUAAAUCAGCCCACAUCAAAUUAUCUUUUUGCGUUUGGUAGUUAAAAGAUUAAACUAAUGGGAAAAUAAUGAUCUAAUUUUCUAAUAAAAGUAUAAAAUAUACGAAUAGGGUACUAAUAAAUAAAUAUUUCAAAAUUUAUAUGAUUAUAAAUUAUUUUAAUUAUGAUUUAUAAUAUAAGAAAUUCAUAAAUUAACAUGUUUAAGAAAAUAAAUAUUUUUUAUGAAAUGUGAUUUAUUAAAAGUGGAUAUAUUUGCCCCUACUAAGAGUUCUAUUUCUCAACAUCAAGAAUAAGACUUGAUCUGUCUGUCGAUUUUUACGGAGAAAAUAUCAUUAAAUUUAAUUAUUUGCAUUCAGUUAAAAAUAUUAUAAUAUUAAAAAUAAAAAUAGAGUCAAAAUUAUUUGGGUUGAGGGGUGUUUUUGUUUCUUGUAAAAUAUUUGUUAAAUAGAAUGAUAAAAGUUUGGGUUAGUAGUAGUAGUAGUAGCCCCUUGGGCUUAUAGCAUAGACGUUAGAGGAUUAGUACUAAUCAUAGGUUUCGGCUUAAACUUUAUUAACUUAGCCUUUAGACGUCAUUUGGUUUGCCAAUUGCUAUUGGGUUUAAAGUUUUAAUUAACAAUCUCAUAAUUCACUUAUUAUUAUUAUUUUAUCUAAUGAAUUUUAAUCUACAUCAUUUUUUAUUCUAAUGACCAAUUAGGUAGUGCAUUGUAACAACUAAAAAAAACAAAAAGGGAAGAUGAAUAUAAAUGAGGAGGAAGACUUCUAUUUAUAGUUAAGCUCUCUUCAAUUCAACAAUACAAUUUAAAUUACAUUAACAACUAAGAUUAAUAUCUAUCUAUAAUAUUUACCCUACUAACUCUAAAUUAGUGGUUUUUUUUUUUUUUAUGUUUCACGAAUUGAAUUAAUUCAAGUGAAUUAAAUAAGCCCAAUUUAAUCCAUUGACCUCCUUGAAUUAUUCUGUGUGCUACGAAUUGUGACAUAAACAUAUAGGAAGCCCACAUAACUCAACUAUUAGUCCUCUGUAAAUCUCAAUUAGAAAUCAUCUAUUCCUCUUUUAAACUCAAGAAACCUCACCAACCUCCAACCUCAACCAUUUUUAUAUAUUUAUAAUUAAAAUUUAUAUUAUAAUAUUUUCAUAUCAAUUUAAACUCAAAUGUAUUGUAAUCAAAGUGAAAUCAACAUUAAAAAACAAGAUUUAACUUGGUUUGGCUCUAAUAUUAUUGAUUACAGAAAAUCUUUAUUCCAUAAUAUUUGUUUCUAAUAUAAAUAUGUACUUAUUAAACCAAUAAAAUUACAUUAAAUACUAAUUAGAAUUUGAAUAAAUAUGUGACAUGUGAGAAGAGGAUGUAAGACGUAAAUGAAAGCUGGUACUGUUGGUUUUGAAGUGAAAUUUAAUUCUUCAAGCCUCUGGGAAUUGUUGGGAUAUUAGGGUUAUGUUUGGUGGAAGGUCAAUUACUGGGGACGCUUAGGUGGGCGGCACUUCAAACUUGUGUUGGAGAAGGAAUAGCCAGCCACCCUGCUUUCCCAUUUCUGCUCCUCAGUUUUUUGUUUUCAUUUCCCUUUUGCUCCCUCUAUCGCCUACAUUUCUCUAUCCAUGUUCUUUCCUUUCCUCCUCCCAAAAACAAUAUUUUGUUUUGGAUCCAUUUCCACUAUAUUUUCCACUCAAGUAAAAAAAUUAGUUAUUUAACCAACCCAACUUCAUUUUUUUUUAUCAAAUUAGACUUCUGAUAUAUUUUGCAUUUACUAUAGUAUAUUUGGUUUUAAAUCUUCCCGAAAUCAUAUUGAAUUCUGAUUAAAUUUGAAGUAAAACAAAAUUCUUCUAACAUUAUUUUCUCCAUUCACAAGACUCAAACUGAACAUAAAAUCAUAAGAUAAAAUUCUAAACUAAAUUUUAAGUGUGAUUUCAUCAGAUUUCCAUGUUUAAUUUAUGAUUUGUGAUUCAAACUUAUAUUCUCUUCUUAAGAAUUCAAAGUCUCAUCUAUUGGACCCAACACUUAUUACCAUUCAUUUAAUUGAAUGCUAUGCUGGCUCCUGGCUGUGGCUGAGAUGGAAAAGAAAAACUUAAGUAGUUUGUUAAUGAUUGGGCCAAAGUGGGUACCUAUGUUUCACAAGUUCGUCCUACUUUCCGGUCGGUAUAAACUGUAAAGCAGUUGUAAUUGUAAACCACUAUCGGGCAAAUGGGCCGAUAUGUUUUCAAUGUAAUAUAAAGAAGUGGGUCUGCCUCCCAGACUUUGUGUUUUGUCGGACGUGGUUUGGACAUUUGCUGCUGUCACCAGUCUUGUCCUUUUCAUCUUCACACUACACAUUUCCAUUUAUACCAAUAUGGAAUUAUAUCGUCAUUAUCUUAAUGGUUUUGGGUUUUUCUAUACCAAUAUAUAUAUAUAUAAAAGAAAUUGUUCGGUUUGGAUUUUAUUUUAUAAAAUUUUAGUCUUUAAAAUUAUAAAAAUAAUACAUCAUUUCCAAAUAUAUAUAUAUAUAUCAAAUUGUUGUUACAAGAGAAAAGCAUUAAGACAUUUUAUGGAUCAAAUGGGUCCAUAUUUAUUUGUCUCUGUCUCAUGAGUAAGGUCAUCUAACAUUGCAUGUUUACAGUUAAAACAAGUAAGAUUUGAUGGGUGAAAGAAGUAGGUACUUGAAUGAAGACUCUACGAAGGGAUUGGGUUAGGAAUGGCGGGAUGCGAUGGUUCAUGGGGUGGUAGUUUGUUUUGAAUUCAUAAGCAUGCGGUUGGGUUAGUAGGUGACUAGAUCGUGGUAUCGUAACAUGUUGAUGUUCUGAAACUACGUGAUGAUAAUGCAAAGCAAUAGUGAUCCUACACAUCUCACCAUUUUCUUUCAUUGCCUACCUUCUUGUUUUAAGUGUUGGGUUCCAAAGAAAAAACACAUCACCUUUCUGCAAUGGUGGAUGGCCUUUUUAGAGUUCAACCCAUUGGGCCCAUCAUUUCCUUUUCUAAUUACAUAUUUCAUAUGGUCAAGAAGCAAAUCUCUAAUUAAUUUUAAUUAUAUAUAAAUAUUUAAAUUUGAUAAAUUUACAAUUAGAGUCCAAUUAAUUUGAGAAUAUGAAAUUUCCCAUCAAAAUUUGAAACUUUAUAAUUAUUAUUAUUAUUUUAAAUUAAAUACUAUUAAAAUAUACAAAUUUUAAAAUAAAUUAUAAAUAAUUAGUAUCUAACAAAUUCAAGUUUAUAAUAUUAAGUUUAAAUCCUCAAUUAAACUUAUGUUCAAAAGAUAGGUUUGAUUAGUUGUAAUUAAUAUUAUUUUCUUUCACAAUUAUUUUUUUCAAUUAGUGGCAGUUUUAUAAUCUUAUUAAAAGAAGAGUUUAAUAAUAAAAUAAUAUAUUAGAAAACAUGUAAAAGUACAAGAUAAAUAUGUAAAAGUACAAGAUAAAUUACAUUUAUUUGUGAUAUUAUUGAUAAAUUUUGUAAAAAAAAAUUAUAAAAUAACACAACAAGAUACACAAGCAACCUAUGAUACAUAGAGCACGAGUACUAUAACAAUUUUUGUUACCCGUGUUCUAUGUAUCAAUUUUUUGAAGAAAUUCAUUAAAAUUUGGUACGUGCCCACAUUACAUCAAAUAAAUAUGUGUAUAUUAAUGAACCUGUGAUAUAUAUUGCACAUUACAUUUUUAUAAUAUUAGUUUUUGUUUAAAAUUGUUAAUUAAUUUCUUUGACAAAUUGAUACAUAAAGCAUGGAUAAUUAUCUUUAAAAUAUAAGAUACACCGUACCCGUGCUCUCUGUACCCUUUAAGUUAUAUUUUGUAUAGUGUAAGCGCAAUAUAUAUAAUUUAGAUAAUCACAAAAAAUAUAAAAUGAUUUAAAUUUAUUUAUAAUAUAUAUCAACCAUAAAAUUAAAUUUAUACAAAAUUAUAAAAUAAUUUUAAUAUAUUUUAAUUGAUACAUACAACCAAAUCUGUGCACUGCCGGAAAAGAAAACUACUUAUAUAUACAAAGAAUAUUACAAUUUUGUAAUGCAAUAUUGUGGUGUGUGAUUUAUGACAUAAUUAUAGAUUUAGCUCUUAAUGUUUACAUCUUUUAUUAAUUUGAUUUUUAUUCUUUUCUAGCUAAAUUUAACCCUCAACAUCUUAAUAAGAGUCGAAUUUGACCAUCAACUUUUUUAAAAAAAAAAUUAAAUUGAUUUUUUUCGACUAAAAUAUUGACUAAAACGUGAAAUUUUUAAAAGUUCAUAUUCUUCAGUCAUUGAUAAAUAAUUUACUGGACAAUACUCAACGCACUUACCACAAAAUAUACAAAUUACAAAAUCUAUACUGUAAUUAAGCAAUCGUUUUUUUCGAAUAUCCGUUUCAAAUUUCCAAUAAACAAUGGGUAGAUCUACAGGGCAUAUUUAUUUGGAAUCUGAAAUGUUCAAAUUCUGGGUACGGCAAAUGUUGAUAAAAUCUGAGAAAUUAAUCGUAGGAACAUUAAUUAAUUUCAUGUUAGAAUGGAAAUUUGAUGCAUGUACGGUGUUUGCAACAUAAUUAUACACAAAUACAACUUACGACUCAUGCCUCUCUAUGAUUUUCGUUGUAAUUCUCUUCUCAAUUUACUCUACUCGUAUGUUAAGAGAAGAUCAAAACUUGACUACUUGAUGAGAAAAAGAAGCUACUUAAACCUAUAGGUUGCCUUGCUAUUCUCUCAUUGGUUUGAGAGAGGCUAUGUAACAUGUGUUUGAAAAGGGGAUUGUGAAUAAGAAUUACGAGGAUAAGAAUCAAAUUAAGAGACAACAUGAUGCCAUUAAUUAUAUAAAAGUUAUAGUUCACAUUUAGUUAGGGAUAUAUAGCCAAGAUUAAUUACACAGUGCCAAAAGCUUCCCCCUCAAUGCCUCAAUAUCUGAUUCCCUUAAUUGGUAAGUUGUUUUGGGUUCCACCUGCACAAUCCAAUUAGAUGAAAGAAGCCACUUAAACUGCUUGAUUUCAUGUACAAUUAUCACUAUAACAAAUUCACUCUUAGAAAUAUAUAUAUAUAUAUGCACCUGAAGGUGAAUAUUGUAGAAGAUCAUGCCAGCUCCAAAUGACUCAAAAGAAGUAGCAUUCAAAAGGAUUAAUCCUUGUUGCUCCUCCAAGAUAUGCAAAAACUCAGAUAACUGAAUCUUCUGAACUCGGUCCUUUCGCAACGUUAUCUGAAUCACAACUUCACUAUCACUACUUAGCCGAUUUAUAGAAACCGUAGCACUGCUUGAACAUCUUCCAUCCCUACAACGUUUAAUACCACCCUGCUGAAAAAUCCUCAACAAAAGCUCUUCUUUUUUAUGAACCAAUCUCUCCACUUGUUCCUGCAACUCUGGUAUAUAUUUCACUGCUUCUGAAACCGUCGCUGGAAUGCUCACCUUUUUCUGCAACAACAAAUUGAUGAGUUGCAUAUUCAUAUUUAUGACAUGCAUGUAUAUGUCUUCAAAUAAGAAAUUAGUUAUGUACCAUUUGAUCUGCAAGUGGAAGCAAUGAUCGAAGAGAUGAAAACAAGCUGUUAACCUUCUUCCGCCGGUGGCGCUCGCUAGCAUUGUGGUUAAGCUUCUUAACCACGCAGGGAUCGAAGCUGGCUUGAGGGACCAAGUCUAGGGUUUCAUUGUUUUCAUAGAUAUAGUUAAGUUGAUGGCCAAUGGGAUUAAGCAAAGGCCAGUUAGGUGUUGGGAAUGGGGCUAAUGCACACAUAUUAAACUGCUUUAACUUCUUGCAACUUUUCUUUAAUAAACUGAAAGGAUCAUUGACUGAUGGAUAUAUACAAACUACAACACUUAUCAAAUAUUCUCCCUUUGUUUAAUAUAUACAUGGAGUUGGUGCCUCUUUUAAAAAACUUAAUAUUUUAUUAAAACAUUAUAAAAAUAAAGGAGAAACAGAAUGUGGGCAAUUUGCCAUGCAUGAGGAUUGCACGAGCCAGGAGUAGGAUUGCCGCUGAAAGACAUGCGUAAGAUCUCGCAGGUCACGUGAAGGACAUGUUCCUCACCACCCACACUCCAUGUUAUAUACAAAGGUUUUCCUUGAAAAACUUGCAAGUUGAUCCAAGUACUAAUAGGAUGAAGCUCGUGCAAUAAAUCAGGCCUUGUAGAGGAACUGUAAUCGAGUUGCAAUUAUGGAAUCUUUAUGCAUCAAAGCAAUGUUCCUAAAAGUCUCAUCCUUGUGGUAUAUGUUAAGCCUUUUCGCAUCGGAUACAUGCAACUGAUUCGAGGUAAGUUGGAUACUUGUUUGAGAAACAAGUUCAUCAAACAUGACUCGUUAUAACAACUUCACUCAAUAGAAUCACUUAAGUGUCAUUUGAUAAGUUUUCACAUGGCCACUAUGCAAAUUAGUCCUUUAACUUUAUAUCGGGUCAGCUUAUAUCUACUUUGAUUCAUUAGGAGACAAUUUGCAACGAUGAAUAUUUAAGGUAGAAUGUUUUGCUAGGCACCUAAUAGGUCAUAGACGAUAGGAUGAAUUAUGAAGUUAAACUAAGUAAGAAUUGAUUGGAGGGAAGUGUGGAAACCAUUUUUUUUUGAAAAGGGUCGACUUUUAUUUAAAAACAAAAAUGGGAGUCGUCACCAAUCCUUUUUUAUUUAGGUGUGAUCGGAUCACCUCAUAAUUUAAUCAUUUUCAUAAAAGUUUAAAUUUACUAAAACGAUAAUUUUUGGUCUACGAAAUCUAGAAAACGAGUUCGGGAGUCGAUUACGCACGAGGAAGGAUUAGCACACUCGAUACGCCCAAAAUUGGUACCUAGUUGAUUACUCAAUGUCUUAAUAUCGAAUAUUGAAAAUUUGGAAAGAAUUAAAUAUACGAUCUUUUUUUAUUAAAAAAAACUUGAAUAAAUUGAAACGAUUGCCAAAGACCCUCUCGUCUCGAGAUAACAAAAUAUCACAUCCCGUAAAUUAGGACACGAUACUUUGAACCCUCAAGAAUAAGCUUGCCUUUAAUUUUUAUUUGAAAUUCAUGUAUUUUAAUUUUAAAAGGAUAUUCGGUUGUUUAGAUUCGACAAGAAAAAUCGAAACCCCGUAAGUUGGAGUAUGAUUUCUCGAAUCUCCAAAAUACAGAACAUUGCCUUUAUUUUUUAAGAUUUUCCCUUUUUUACAAGCUUGGAUAAAAAUUAACGAAAUAUUUAAAAACGAUAUAUAUACUUAGUUUAUUUGAGUAUGGCUAAAACAUGAAUUCGUAUUUAACAAAUGAUAAUACAACGUGACUUUGUGGUAAUAAUGGCACAACAUGCUUGAUAAUAAAUAUAAGAUAGCAAUCAUGAGUCAUGGUAUAAAUAUGCAUAAUAAUAAAUACGAUGAUAUAAAUGGCGAUGAUAAGAGUAAAAACAACAACGAGAUAAACAAAUAAAGAAGACAAUCUAAUUAGAAAUAAUAAAAUAAGCAAUACAUGAACUAAUAAAAGGUUUUAAAUAAAACUUAAAAGCAAGCAAAUGAAUAAAAUAAAUAAAUAAAAGAAGGAAUUAAAAUAAAACAAAUAAAAGAAGGUAAUAAUAAUAAUAAUAAUAAUAAUUUAAACUUCGAAACAUAUAAAAAGUGUAUGUAUAAAGAAAUAAAUAAAAUAAACAAUAAUGAGAGUAAUAAUAAUAAAAGCAUAUUAGAAAAAUAAUAAUAAGAGAAGAAACAAAAAGAUAAAAAAUGCUAAAUAUUAAAUUAAUUAAUUUAAUAACACGAUAAUAUUAACAAGGAAUGGCUAAAUUGAAAUCAAAAUGAGAUUUUGGGCAAAAAUCGGGAAUGGAAAUAAGGUAAAGGACCGAUUUACAAUGUGCAAAAAACAAGGAAGGACCAAGUGGGAAAUAAUCCCCAUCCUCCAAAACGCACCGUUUCAAACGGAUCACAUUGAAACUGGAAUGAAACUUUAUGGCCGAAAUAAAAACAAAACAAAAGAUCCUAUUGAACCCAUCCUCAAAAGCGGGAGGACUAAGGGAGCAAAUAGACCCUUAGUCCAAAAACACGCGGAUCCUAAACGGUCAUGGGUCGGGUCGGGUCAGAUCUAUCCAAAAUGACGCCGUUUCAACGUCUGAAUACCAGGCCUAAAACGACGUCAUAUUAAUCCUAGUAUAAAUAAUAAGAAACAGAAAAAAAAUCAUUUGAAUGGCCCCUUUAAAAAAAAAUUCUUUCUUCCUCUCUUUUCUCCUGGGUAACCCAGAAUCCAGCCAGGCUUCAGUGAGUCUUUGCCAUGGUGCCACCGUGGCUUCGUCGUAACUCCGCCGUGGUGGAAGAAAACUCCAAAACCUAUUUUGAGCCAUCUUUUCACGUAGAAACAGAUUCAAAAUCGAAAGAUUUCAAAUCAAACCCCAAAGCUCUAAAAAAAAAAGAAAAACUUUUCGACACAUUUGCUUCAAAGUCUCAAAACUCUUCUGGCACUGAUCAUCCUAGAUAAAAGGAACAUUCUUCUGUAGUAGUUUAGUCAUCGGCAAUGCUAUCUUCGAGAAGCCAUUUACAAAUCUCCUGUAGUACCUAAGCUAAAUCGAGAAAACUACGCACCUCCGAUACAUUCUUUGGCGCCUUCCACUGAACAAUUAUUUUGAUCUUCUUCGGAUCAACUCUAAUCCCGUCGGUAGAUACCACGUGUCCUAAAAAUACCACUUCUGACAACCAGAAUUCAAAUUUACUUAAUUUCCCAUACAACCGUUUGUCCCAUAGAAUUUGUAGAACUUUUCAAAGAUGCUGAUCAUGUUCUGCCUCUGUCUUCGAAUAUACCAAUAUAUCAUCAAUAAAGACCACCACAAACUGAUCUAGGUACGGCUGGAAAAUGCGAUUCAUUAAAUCCAUGAAUGUAGCUGGAGCAUUUGUCAAUCCAAAUGGCAUUACCAAAAAUUCAUAAUGGCCAUAACGAGUACGGAAGGCAGUUUUAGGCACAUCACUUUCUUUCACCUACAACUGAUAAUACUCGGAUCUCAAAUCAAUCUUAGAAAAUACUGAAGCUCCCUUUAGCUGAUCAAAUAAGUCAUCUAUACGAGGCAAGGAAUAGCGGUUCUUGAUUGUCAUUUUGUUCAACAGUCGAUAAUCAAUGCAUAACCGUAUAGAACCAUCUUUCUUUUUAACAAACAGCACUGGAGCUCCCCAGGGUGAAAUACUCGGUCAGAUGAAGCCUCGAUCUAGUAAAUCUUGCAACUGUACUUUCAACUCUUUCAAUUCAGUAGGCGACAUUCGGUACAGAGGUAUAGAAAUUGGUGCUGUACCUAGAUACACCUCAAUAGCAAAUUCAACCUCUCUAUCAGGUGGUAAGCGCAGUAGUUCUUGUAAUGGCCUAAAUUCAAAGUUAUCGGAAUAGUGGUUUCGUAACCACAAAUCCAAUUUAAAGAGAAAUUUAUUUUAAUAUUUUUGCAUGAAAAUUGAUAUGAUAGGAGAAUCGUAUGAAAAUAUUGAUAGAAAAAAAAUUUACCGAUUUAGUGGUUAGUUAGAAAAAGAAAUUAUUGAAGAAAUUAUUGAAGAAAUUGGGUAAAAACAAGGUAUCGGGCCCUCUAUCUCGUAAAACCGAGUCGAAAAUAAUUCUAUAAAUAUUUAUGAAAUGUUAGUAAUGUGGUAUUAAAAUUUCAUUAGGAAAUUUUAAUGUUUGGGUAGUCAAUUAAAUGAAAAGGACUAAAUUGUAAUAGGUGUAAAAGUUUAUAAAAUGAUUAAAUAGCUUAAGAGUCUAAUGAGAAAGGAUUUAAAAGGCAAUUAGACCCAAAAUUUAUUAUGGCUGGACGGCAAGGGCAUGAAAUCAGCAGGAAAAUUGAUAAAUUAAGGGCAAAAUUGGAAUAUUACAAAAUUAACUAAAUAAAACUAGGACUAAAUAGGAAAUAUCUAGAUUUCUCUUCAUUUCUCUUCAAUUCCAGCAGCUAAAAACACCAUAGGAGGGUUCUAUAAGCUGGUAUUUCAUAAUUUUUGCACCAAGUGAGUUAAUCCUUGCCUUUAUCUUGUAAUUUUUGUGUUUCUAAGACUUUUACAACUAGGUCCUACUAUUAAAUUCAUUAGUUUUUGAUUUCAUGGAUGAAAUUGAAAGUCACCAUGGUUGAGUGCUGUAAUUUUAUGAUGAAAUAGAAUGAAAUUAAAGCUUUAAUUUGUUUAUGAGAUGAUUUUAUUAGGUAAUUUUAAUAGAAAUUGAUUUUUAGGACCUAAUUGUGAAAAUGCUUGGAAUUAAAGUAUAUUGCUGAAAUUAUGAUUCCUAAAGGUUUUAAACUAGUUUAAGGUGAUAGAAUAAAAUGUUAAUUGAGAAAAAUCAGCUCAAUUGAGAGGCUAAUUGAGUAGGGACGAAAUUAUCAUUUAUUAAAAGCUUAGGGGAAAAAUGGUAAUAAAUAGCUUGCACAAAAACAGUUUGGACAGCAGCAGUAGACUAACUUUUGAAAAAUAACCAUAAAUUUUAGAAAUCGAAUUAGAAGAUGAAAAAAAUAUGUAAUUAAAGCUUAUUGAGUCUAGUUUCUCAUAGAAGAAAUAGUGUAAGUAAAGGAUUUGUAAAUUUUGAGAUAUAAUGAAUUUUGUGAGACAAGGUCAGAAUGAAUUCGGGUUCCCCUGUUCUGCAAUUGAAAAAUCAUAAAAAAUUGAAUCAAAAUAAUUAGAUGCUUAAAUUUAUAAGUCUAAAAUCCUGAAUGAGUCUAUUUUUAAUAGAAACAAACAAGAACAUCAUUUGAAUCCUAUAUGAAGAGAUAAUUAAUUUUUAGUGAAGAAGGAUGAGAACUGUCAGACAGCAGAACAGGGGUGACUUUAAAGAAUAAACUGUACUUAUUUGCUAAACCAAAAAUUCUGAAAAUUUUAUGGUAAGAAGAUAUAUGAGUCUAGUUUCAGGAAAAAUUAAUGGAUCUUAAUUUUGAGUUCCGUAGCUUGAGUUAUAAAUAAUUUAGUGACUAUGACUCAAAUAGACAGCUUUGAAUAAACUAUAAAUAAUAAUAGUUGAAUUAUAGAGAAUGUUGCAUAUGAACAUGAAAUGUAUUAAAUUGAUAAUUAAAUUUAUUUAUUUAGAUCCAGAAGAUUCAAAUACGAAGCUAGAUCGAGGAAAGGAAAAAGUUCGGGAUUAGUAGAUUUUUUUUGUUUACAAACAAGUAUCAAGGUAAGUUCGUGUAACUUGAAUUAUAUUCUUAAAUUGCUUGAGAUUGUAUGUUAUUGAUGUGAAUAUGAUUUGAAUGUUCAUUGUAUAAAAAAUUUAUGAAACAUUGAUAUGUUUGAUAAAAAGGGGAAGAAAUCCCAGUUGAAUGAAAGGAAAAUUCGAUGGAUCUCUGAGAAGGAAUUAACAGUAAAAAGGAUCUAGCCCGGCCGGGUGAUCCUAUCUUGAUAUAGCCCUCCCGAAGAAUAUGUGGAAAAUAGAUUUAGCCCGGACGGGUAAUCCGAAUUAGGGUCUGAUUUAGCCUAGACUGGUAAUUUAGAUCUAAGCUCAUUAGAGUAAUUGUCGUUGCAAAGGAUUUAGCCUGGACUGGUAAUCCCGACAAUACUCUAUGAGUUUAUAUUGCAGGGGAUUUAGCCUGGACUGGUAAUCCCGAUAAUACUCUAUGAGUUUAUAUUGCAGGUGAUUUAGCUUGGACUGGUAAUCCCGCUGCAAGGUUGAGGUUCGCGGGAGUGUGCUCUCUGAAAUGGAAAUGUGCGCACAUGAAUAUGAAUUGACGGACCCGGAAUUUUACACUAACAGUGUACCUCUGAAAAUUCAUCGAAAUUUCGAUAAAUUCAAGGGGAUAAAUAUGGAAAAAUAACAAAGAAAUAGAAAUUAUGAUAUUGAUGAGCUCAUCAAUCAUGGUAUAUAUUAUUGGUACAUGGAAAUUGUUGUACUAACUUGAAUGUUGAGUUUGUGCAUAUUAGAGUAAUAAUGUAUUGAAUGGAUAUAUGAAUGUUUAUUGUAUUGUAUUGAAAAUAUUAGGUAAGUAUAAUUCUUGUUACAUGAGCUUACUAAGCACGAAGUGCUUACCCCGUUUCCUUUUUCCCUGUUUUGUAGUGUUAAGAGCUCGGAGGUCGGAUUUGUUCAGAGACACAUCACACUAUCAACCUCAGGAUUUCGGUAUAUAAAGAAACUUUAUUUUGGAAAUCAAUGGCAUGUAUAAGCUAAUAAAGUAAAUGUUAACGUGAAAUGAAUAUAAACUUAGCCAUUAGUAUGGUUAACAAACCUGGUUUUGGGUAUGUGAUGACGUUAUCUUAUAAAUAUGCAUGAAUUUAUCUUGAAAAUAUGUUGAAUUGGUUUGGUUGAAGUGGAUUGGUCCUGAUUUAAUAUUGCAGGGAAGGUUAGAUAUUUAUAAAGGGGCUAUAUUUAAUAUAAAAAAAAUCGUAAACUCUGAUAAUACCUCGUACGCUAUUCCGGCAAUGAAUACGGGUUGGGGUAUUACAGUUCUUCUAGAAAUACAUCUAGAAACUCGCAUACAGUCCUAAUCUGACUGCACUGACUCCCAACUGAAUCAGAAUUAAUAACAUAUGCCAAGUAUGCUGAACAACCCUGCUGCAGUAAUUUAUUAGCCUUCAUCGUUGAAAUGAUGCGUGUCGAACCACUGGUACGGAUGCCAUUCACUUCAAUUCUGUCCUCAUUUUCUGUUUGAAUACUAAACCUCUUUUUAUAGAAAUCCAAAACUACCCCAUGUUUAUAUAACCAGUCCAUACCCAAAAUGAUAUCAAAAUCACCAAAAGGCAUGAUCAACAAAUCCACAGGAAACAUUUUAUCAUGUAUUAUUAACGGGCACCUCCGACAUACUCUAUCUACUGACGCCGUUUGUCCCAAAGGGCUAGACACUUCUAUAGAAACUCUAGAUAUUUUAGAUCCUAAUUUCCCCGAUUCAACUAGUUUUGAAUUAAUAUAUGAAUGUGACGAACCGGGGUCAAUUAAAGCAUAAAUAGGCUCAGAAUACAAUAAAAAUAUACCUGUAACAACAUCGUGUGCAUCUCCUUCCUCACGGGUCCGAACUACGUACGCUCUAGCCGGUGCCCUGGCCUCUGAUUGUUGUGUAACUAUAUCACUGUUUCUUCUAACACCUCCACCUCCGGACACAGAACCGCCCCUGCUAGAUCAUCCGCCACAAACAGUAGGCACUGAUCUCUGAGAUGCUGCACGUAUCGUAUUUUCACUUUUUGGACAGUCUCGAAUGAAAUGAUGUGUGAGCCCGCAUCGAAAAUGUCAUCGAGUUAUCCUCCAACAUUCACCUAAGUGUUUUUUUCCACAGUGUUCACAGUCAGGGAUAUCAAUUUUUCGUGAAGUUCCCUUUACACUACCGGUAGAAACAAUAGUCUAUUUACCCUUACUUUUGUCACCUGGAUCCGAUCUGAAGCUUGGCUUCCAACCACCUCUGAACUCUCUAGAUAUUUUUGGUAAAUGAUUAGAACUAGCAGUUCCAGUUCGUUUCCCAGUCAAUUUAGUCAUUUCAGGCUUUUUUUCCAAUCUCAAAACUUGUUCUACCAUUUUCGCUCUUUCAACCAAAUCUACAAAUUUUGUGAUUCGUUGUGACAGCAACUGUACUCUGAUUUCAUCUCUCAAGCCCCGUAGAAACCUCUUGUAACUAUUUGCCUCAGUUGGGAUGAACUCAGUAGCAUACCGGCUCAAUCUAGAAAAAGCUCUUUCAUAAUCCACUACUGAUAGAUUGCCUUGUUUCAACAUUAGAAAUUCCUGCUUUUUAUCUUCAAUAUAUAGCUCUCCAACAUACUUCUUCUGAAAUUCCUUCUUAAAUAAUUCCCAUGUUACCUGUUCUGCUGGCAAAUGUCAAAUUACAGAUUCCCACCAUAGAUAAGCCUCACCCUAAAGUAAUAAAACGACACAAAUCAAGUAUUCCUGGGGGUACAUUCUAAUUGCCGCAGAACCCAUUUAGUUGAUUCCAUCCAAUUCUCUGCAGUAGAUGGAUCAACUCUUAUCAGACCCAUAAAUUCUAUAGCACCGUAUUUUCUUAGCUCUUUUAUUGGGGCCCGUCUCUGAGUUGGUACAGAAAUUGUAGCAGGAACAGUCUCCGUUACUCUUUACAAAGCAUCGACAAUAUCUCUUAAUAUAUCAGAAUCAUCUCUAUCAUUUCAUCUUUCUACUCUAGGAGGUUGGUUUCUCAUCGGGUUAAUACUAGGUGUUAUUGAUUCAGUUUCAUUUAACUCGUAAGAUUCUUCUUCUCCAGUAUGCAUUUCUUCUCCAGUAUCGUUUAUUCUUUCAUCUGACAUCUUUUAUCUAUAAAACAAAAACAAAUAAAUAGGUCAGCAUCCAAAAUUCCCGACUCAAUUUCGACUAAAAAGUGGCAUGUACUAUUAGACUCACUUCCGAGAUCGAUUUAGCCCGAGAAUCAGCUAAACUUGAUAGCUCUAAUACCAAUAAUUGUAACACCCCCUAACCCCAAACCGUCACCGGAAUAGGGUUACAAGGCAUUACCGGACAUAUCAGACAACUUACGAAUAAUUCACAAUUAAUAUAACAUUCAUAGUAUAAUUUAAUAAGUAAGUCCCUAUAUUGGACUCUCGAAGCCUAAAACAUGUAUUAAAAGUAAAACGGGACUUGUUCGAGUAUUCUGAAAAUUUUUUCAUAAUUUUUAUUUUACAUGUGUAUAAAUACACAUAUCACACAUGUACACUUUUAUCAUCAUACAUUUGGCACAAAUUUUAAUUUAUUUAUAAUCUAAUAACAAAAUUUGAAAUCAAAUAAUAAUAAUAUUAACAAUAAUAAUUAAUAAAAUCCAAGAGAAAUCUUAGAUUUUUCUAUCCAUUUUGCCGCUUCAAUCAUUACAAAUGGCUUAAUUGCCAUUUUAACCCCUUUUUAAUUCUAUUAUUUUAGAAUUAAACUUUUAACCUUUACUCAAUCUAAUCCUUUUUACUAAUUACUCUAAAUUAAACUAGUUUCACCUAAAUAGAACCUAAUUAGACAUAUAACUAGACUCAUAAUUAUUCCUAAUAAUUAUUUACGAACCUGUUUCACUAAGACGGAGGCCCGAUAAUGUACUUUUUCGAUGCCCACGGAUUUUGGGUCAUUACAACCGAGCCUUGGAUGGUGUGCGUGCUGAGGGAGCACAUGGAAGGGGCACCACACAAAGGAGAUUCAAAAACCCUAGGGUUUCUGAAUUGUUUUAGGUUAUUGGGCCUUUUGGGCCUGUAAGAACUUGGGCUUAUUUUAGGCUAGGGUUUGGGUUUAAUUUUUGGUAUUUUGGGCCAAAGGUGUAAUUUAGGCUUAAUGAGUCUGUAAAGUUUGGGUAUUGGGUUUUAAGUAAUUCGGGCUUAUAUUUGUAAAUUGGGUUUGUCAUUAGUCGUAAAUGGAUUGGACUUUAAUGGAUUUAUUAUUGUUUUCUCUUUUGGUUUGCUUUUAUUGUUUCUAGUUUGGGACCCAGGAAAAAUAAGCUUAUUUUGAUGUUUUGGAAGCUUUGGGACAAGGUUUUGAUGAAAUUUAGUGAAUAUUUUGAAAGUUAUUAGAUUUCUAAAUAUUGUUCAUGUUGAAUAAAAAGAUGAAUUAGGGGUUAGAUUGAUAAGAAUUCAAGUUAGAAAUGAAAUAAGGAUUGAAUUGUAAAGUAAUUCAUAAGUUUUAUGUUGUAGGGACUAAAUUGAUGAAAUUUCAAAAUUAGAAAAAUAUGCUAAAUUAGGAAAAUAUGCUGGAAAUUUAAUAGUUAAGUAUGAGUUUGAAAAAAAUUUCAAUAGAAAUGAAGUAUGAAUUGAGAUAGAAAAAGGAAGUGAAUUUAGUUAAGAUUAAAUUAAAAUAAAAGUAGAAAUUGAAUAGAAAUUGUAUUAAUUAGAUAUAAAUUAGUAGUGAAUUAACGAAUAUGAAUUGUUUUAAUUCCCAUAGCUAACGUUGUCUCAGGAAAUCUCGGCUAAGCAAGGAAAACUGGCAAAGACAACGGGAGUUAGCUCGAGAAAAUACGGUUUGUAUUUCUAUAAUCCGAACUUAAUACUUAAAUUGUUGGAUUUAUUAUUUAAUAUUUAUGUAGUAGGUGUUUUGAGAUGAUUAUUUGAAUUGGAUUGAAUAUUGAUUAUAUUGAAUUGAUUUAUGAAUAUAUGUGAAUGUUUGAAUUGAAAUGAAUAUUGAUGUGGAAAUUGAAUAAUAAAUAUUUGUUAUAUUGGAAAAUAUAUGCAGUUGGAAGUGUGAUAAAAUUGAUAGAAAAAUGUGAUUAUUGUGAAAUUGAAUAUUUAUUAGUGAAAAGUGAAUGGAAUUAUAUUGAAUUGAAAAUAUAUAGUUAAUUAAUUAAAAUAUGAAUUAAUUGAAAAUUGAAAAGUGAAUUAAAUACCCUAUUAAUUAGUCGAUCUAGUUGGAUAUAGUUGGCAUGCCAUAGGAUAUGGAAGAGUACUGGUUUUGUCGGCUUACUGAUCAGGCACUUAUGUGCCGACUACUGUUACUGUUACCGAUUCGGCACUUUGUCUGUUGGAUAUUGUUACUGUUACCGUUACUGUUACUGUUUCCGAUUUAUUCCGAUGAGGUACUCUGUGUACCAUACUGUUACUGUUACUGUUCCGGCUUCGGCCGAUGAGGCACUAUGUGCCGUACUGGUGUGUUGGUUGGAUCCGUGUAUCCGUCUAGGUCCAAGUCAUGUUAAUAGGGGUAAAUAAAGGAACUGGAGAGAUCGACUGUUACUGAAUAAUUUAAUUGUUACUGUAUAUCUGAUUUUUACUGAAUAAUUGACUGUUACUGGAUAACCGAUCAAUUGAUUGAUACUGAAUAACUGAUUAUUAUUGAAUAAUUGAUUGUUACCGAAUAACUGACUAUUACUAAAUAAAUAAUUGUUCUGAUUGACUGAUCGUUAAUGAAUAUUACUGAUUGAUUAAUUGCUAUCGAAAAACAAUAAAUGAUUUUGAAUUUAAAGUAGACCAAAAUAUUGGUUGGAAAGUGAAUGUUUGAAUACUCAUUGAGUUUGAAAAGUUCAAUAUAUAUAAAUUAAUAUGUUUUAUAAUUGUUUAAGUGUUCAGAUUAUAGAAAUAUCACUGAGUAUACCUAUACUCAGCGUACGGUUUGUUUCUGUGCGCAGGUUAAGUAAAGAUAGAACGUUGAAUCAGCAUCCCAGGCCGAUCCUGAAUUCAAUAAGGUAAAGUGUGUUAAUUAUUGGUAAAGGCAUGUACUUAGGGUGUCUUAUGUGUGUGUCAUUUUGAAAUUGUAAAUGUAAGGAUGAAAUAAAUAGAUUUAAGUUUGGUUAUGAUAUAUAAUAGAAUUUGGUUAAUUUGGUAUGAAAUUGAUUUAUUUGAUGAUAUUUGAUAUUUGAAUAAAAUUAAAUAUUGAAUAAUAUGUAAAUGUUUAAAUUUGGCAAAUUAUGAGUGUAUCAGGUUGUGUUGGUAUUUAUGUGUAUAUUAAUUGUAAAUGCUCGAUAGGUUCGGUAAUGCUCCGUAACCCUGUUUUAGGGACGGUUUGGGGUUAGGAGACGUUACAAAUAAAAAUAAUAAUAAUAAUAAUAAUCUAAACUUUGAAACAUAUAAAAAAUAUAGUAUAAAGAAAUAAAUAAAAUAAACAGUAUAAAGAAAUAAAUAAAAUAAACAAUAGUGAGAGUACUAAUAAUAAAAGCGUAUUAGGAAAAUAAUAAUAAGUGAAGAAACAAAAAGAAAAAAAUGCUAAAUAUUAUAUUAAUUAAUUUAAUAACAUGAUAAUAUUAACAAGGAAGGGCUAAAUUGAAAUCAAAUUCAAAACCAAAGGAUUUCAAACCGAACCCCAAAACUCUAAAAAAAAAGACCUUUCGACUUUUGGCCUUCUCCGCCGUGGCCUCGGUUGGAUCCCUAAUGAUCUGAUAGCCUUCGGACCAGAAAGGCAACGUCGAUGAUACGUAGACCAAACGACGGGUAAAAAUCUCCUAUUAUGUAUAUUUACUUAUUAUUUCUGCUUUCGAAUUAGAAAUAAAUAAAAGAAAAAAAUUUACCUUUUUGAAAUUCUCAGUCUCGUUUUUUAUUAAUAUUUUCUGUAAAAAAAAUACAUUGACGAUGGUGACUUUUUAUAGCCGGAUGCUACAAUUAAUUUCAUUUUAUUUUUAUUGUUUAUGCUUCUGCUUCUACGAUUUCUAUUUGCUUUCUCUGCUUUUUGUUGCUUUCUUUUUUUUUUGCUGUGUUUGCAGGUUAUAGAAGGAGUCAACGAAGGCAUGUUUUGCCAUCUUGGUGCAAGGUCGCAGGCAGAGCCGAGCCUUGGAUGGUGUGCGUGCUAAGGGCGCACAUGGAGGGAGUACGUGCAAAGGAGAUUCAGAAACCCUAGGGUUUCUGAAUUGUUUUAGGUUCUUGGGCUUGUAGGAGCUUGGGCUAAUUUUAGGCCAAGGUUUGGGUUUAAUUUUUGGUAUUUUGGGCGAAAGGUGAAAUUUGGGCUUAAUGAGUGUGUAAAGUUUAGGUAGUGAAUUUUAAGUAAUUCGGGCUUAUAUUUAUAAAUUGGGUUUGACAUUAGUUGUAAAUGGAUUGAACUUUAAUAGAUUUAUUAUUGUUCUCUUUCAGUUUGGUUUUUUUAUUUCUAGUUUGGGACUCGGACAAAAUAGGCCUAUUACAGUAAGGUCACAAGGCAAACAAUUAAAUGGUUCAGUUGUUGAAAUUCUAAAAAAAAAUAAAAUUUGAUGAAACAAGGAACAAGGUGAAUAAGAAUUGUUUGGAAUAAAGGCAUGAGCUUAGUAGACUCGAUAUUUAUGAUUCUUUGAAUGGUAAGCCCAGUGUUUAAUUAAAAACUGAGACUUCCCUUAUGGCAUAUUGGAUAUACGUCAGUCAUUGGGUUUUAUAGCAGUAAUCCAUAUACAACUUUAGAGAAAACAUAAUCAACACCUGUACGCUUUUUUUAUAUGAGAAUAUUAUUGUAUUUGUCUACUUCUUUUUAGAUUAUAAAAAAGUUUAAAUAAAUUUAAUUUUUGCUUGAUAAUUCAAUUUUUAUAAUGUUAUUAGUAGGGGGAAGUCAAAAUUUUUUAGGGGGUCAAAAUUAAAUUUUAAUUUUUUAUAGCCUAUAUUUUUAUAAUUUUUAAAGGGUUAAAUCAAAUUUUUAGCAUUUUUAGGGGGAACAAAGUGUAAUUUUACCUUUACUAAUUUAAAUUUUAAAAUUUUUAAAGGGCUUAAAUGAACAAUUUUUCAUUUUAGUAGGGGUCGGGGCCCCUACCAGCCCCCCUAGAUACGCUGCUAGUCACUGGUUAGUUUAAGUGCGUUAUUCUAAUUAAAAUGAUUAUGUGAAUCUUUAAGAAUUGUUAGCACUGUUAAAAAUUCUUUUUUAAAUUCAGGUUCAUUAUAAUGUUUUCUUUUUGCUCUAUGGAUACCAAGUUUAUUUUAUUUUUUUCAAAAUGUCACACCAAUACAAAAGAAUUCUAAUAGUGUUAACAAAUGUACCUAAACUUUUAAAUUGAAAAUAAAAUUAUGGAAAUUAAAUUCCAAAUAUAUGAAGAGUACAAAAACUUUGAGCCAUUCGUAAACUUUAAAUUUUUACAGUAUAAUUUAGUCAAUAAAUAAAUAAUUAAUCCAACGCAAAGCAUGGGUGGAAACUGUUGGGAAAGUUGCUACUACUCGUUCCAUAUUCUAUUAUAAUGAAGUUGUUUCCCUACUUAGGCUAUUGACUUGGCCUUAAAUAGGUUUUAUUUGUGCUGAGUUUAAUCUACUUGAAUGUAACAUAUUUGACAAAACUAGAAGUAUUGGUUGACUCAGGUGCUAAGACUCCCAAUCGAAUUACUUGAGAUGAUUGGAUAAGCAUGAAAGUCUUCUCUUGGUGAUUAAAAUGCUAUUUUUAGAGAUAAAUAUCAUAUUUAUUCAAGAGAGUUUUGGAGUAAUUAAAAGACUGAUAUAUGAAGACUUUUAUGUGUUAAAUAUUCAGGAUAAUCAAUGAGAUAAUUUUAGCUCUUAAAUAGGAGUUUAAAAUCUAUCAAAACACUAUUGAUUGACCACUUGAAGAGGCCUAAAAAUAGGGUGGGAAAAUGAUUGUAUGAAACAGUGAUACCACGUCAUUUGUAUAUAUUUUCCAAUAGUUUUAUGCCACAUCAGCAUUUUCAUCUUGAAAAAAAUUAAAUCCAAAUUAAAAUCCUAAUAUUCAGGAUGAAAUUAUUGAUGUGACAUAAAACUAUUAGAAAUGGAUAAUAUCCCUGUUUUAUACAAUCUUUUCUGAAAUAGGUUGUUUCAUGCUGCAUAUCAAGAGCACUUUUUGGAGUGUUUUUGUUGACAACUUUGUUUUGUUUUCUUGUGGUUAUUCUGUAAUGCUUUUUUAGGUAUUAUUUGGAGAGGUUUAUUGCUUGUAUUAUGAGAUAUUUGAGUGAGUGAUUUGUGACAAUUGGGGUAAGUAUUGGGGCUACAAUUACUCCUUUGUGUAAGUGUAGAUUAAACUUAAGUCAAUAGGUGAUUCGGAUGAUUGUUGAAUAAAAUUACUCACUAAACAAGGCUACGCUGAUGUAGGAUUGUAAUGUCUGAAAUGUGUUAACAAAAAUCAGUUGUGUCGAUUUCUUUUUACCUUUAUUUUUGUUGUUGCAUGUUUUUGUUCUAAUUAUCGUUACAACAAAUAUUAAACAAAGUUAAUUUAUGAUAUCCACGAACUAAUUAUUUUAUAUGAGUUAAAAGAAUGACAUGUUUAUUCAUGUUUUUGGCUAAAAAGUAUAGGGGGAAAUUUUCUAUUAUUUUCAGCGUUAUUCCUCUUCCAUAGAUGUCAACAAUUUGUGUUUUCUUGAAUCAAGAAAGUCCUAUUCGGCCUACCUGCUCUUCCACCUUUCUUCUUACCUUCACUUUCUUUGUUUUUGCUUUGGUUCGCACCUUGAUUGGCACCAUUAAAUUUUGAUAAAAUGUGCAGCCAAAAAUUAAAUGAAAUGUUAAAAUAAUUAAUGUGUAUUAUACUGAAAACAGUUAUAAUAGAAUAUUCCAAAUUUCAGCUCAUCAAUCUCUCAAUCUGAGUUAACAUGAAUGCUGAUUUUGGGGUUUUCCUAUAAAAAUAACAUUAAAAUUUUAUUUAAUUAUGAGAAACAAAUUAAUUAUCGUUAAAAAUAAUUAAAUAAGUUUAACAUUUAUCAAUAAAAAUAUAAUCUACUAUAUGAGUUUAAAAAGAAAAUAAUAAACAAAAAAGAGUUUAUGAAACUAUUAUCUAUUACACUAAAUUUGGUGCCGUCAUACGGUUAGACGACACUAAGUGUUUUUUUUUUUUUACAUCAGAUGAUCUGAAAGAGAAGAAAAUUCAUAUCAAGUCCUUGAAUGUUUUGAUUUAUUAUACUUUAAUUUAGUGCCAUCAAUGUGUCAUGUGACGUCAAUAAAAAAUUAUUUUUUUAAAAGAAAAAACAAUAGUUGUGUCAUCAAUCAAUUAGACAACGUCAAUAUUCACUAUAGAAAAUACCCCAUUUUUAUAAUUAAUAUGUUUCACAUACUAUUUUUGUAAUUAAUUAAUUUUUAGUAUUAUUUUUAAAAAAUCCUCAUUUCGAUUUCUACCUUAAAACUAAGUAGUUAUUCCUUCUCUUUUUUUCACUUUCAGCAAAAGAAAAAAAAUUGUUUCUUCUAUAUUAAUUUAAGCUAUCCAAACAAAAAUGUAAACGUAGGGUGGUUACUAUAAAAGUAUUUUAGAAGUUUUUGUAUUAAAGGUAAGUUUGUAUUUUGUUUUUUAUUAAAAAAUAAAUAAAUUAAUCUUUAUAUAUUAGAUUAAAAAAUAAACUAAUUUUUUGUAUAUUUAAAAGUUAGCUUGAUUGAUGAAAUAAUAUGGCCUGUUACAUAUAUCUCAUACUAAUGUAUAGGGGACCAGUUUAUAACAAUAAAAAUGAAUAAAAUUUUUAAGAAAAGAAGCGAUAUAAUUUUUUAUCUAAUGUAGGAGUAGUUUUAAAUAAAUUAGAGAAAAUGGAAUGGUAAUUUUAGGUGGUUUCUCAUUUUCACCAAUAGGUUAGAGAAGAUUAGUGAUAGAAAAUAUUUCAUCAUAAAUCACAUAACUGCGAGCUUUUUCCUUAAAGGUACAUUUUCUUUGUACGUUAACAAUUUCAAAACGAGAAUGAAAGUUGGAUUUGAACAAGCCAAUCCGGCGGCGAACGGCGGCGAAAAUGAAGCCCCGCCGUCACCUGCCAAAUCAAAACAGAAGAAAUCGGGCUGUUACAUCAGUUUUUCAGCUCCCUUACCAAGGUAUCCGCUCCACCAUUACUUUUUCAUCCCCAAAAUUAGAAACAACAUCCAACUACGAAAAUUCAUGGAGCCUGAAGCCAACCGAAAAAAAACACCAAAAUCAUUUUUCCUCUCCUUUCUCUUUCAUCGUCCCAUUCCCUCUUGGAAAAUUGAAAAAUGACGGUAAUUGAUAUCCUAUUCCGAGUCGAUGAAAUCUGCAAGAAAUAUGACAAGUACGAUCCCGAGAAGCAACGCGAAGCCAAUGCCUUUCUCGACGAUGCCUUCGCUCGCCUCUACUCUCUCGUUGAGGCCGACAUCGAAAAGGCUCUCGCUGUUCGCUUCCUUUUUUCUUAUCCCUUCCUUUUUUUGUUUUCUUUUCAAACAUUGAUUUUUCAAAUUAAUUAUUGGAAUAAAAUGCAGAAAUCUGACAAGGUUUCUACGGAGAAGAAUAGAGCAGCGGCGGUGGCAUUGAGCGCUGAGAUUCGUCGGAUAAAGGCUCGAUUGAUGGAGGAAGUUCCUAAGCUUCAAAAAUUGGCUAAAAAGAAGGUAUAUUUCUAUUUAAUUUCAGCCUUUUUGCGUAGUCAUAUUAUCGUUAACUUUGUAGGUAUUUGAAUUUGUUAACAAAGAUUAUAUUAUUCUUUAAUUAUGAUUCGUCUCAUUUCAGUAAUGUAGCUCUAGAUUUUAUGAUAAUUAAAUAUCAGUCAGCAUGAAGUAGGGUGAGAUUACUAGUUCGAUUUGCCCAUGUUCAAAAUUUUAAGCUGCAUUGUCUUGAUUCCUGAUUGAUUAUGGUAACUUAAGAUUACAAGAGGUUGACAAUGGAAUUCUUGUAUUGAAUAUGCUAUUGGUAUCUAACUACAGGUGAAGGGACUUUCCAAAGAGGAUCACGAAACUCGUUUCGAUAUGGUUCUAGCGCUACCUGAUCGAAUUAAAGCCAUUCCAGAUGGGUCUACGGCUGCAGCAAGCGAGAGCGGUGGAUGGGGAACUUCAUCAUCCAACAAAAAAAUCAAAUUUGAUUCAUCAGGUAAUUGAGGGUAAUGCUUAUUCCUCGAGCUAAUUUUGAAAUUGAUCGUCGAUUACUUUCCUUUAUCAGAGGAGCGCUUCGGUAGUGAUUUUUACCAACAAACUGAAGAGUCAGAUCAAUUUAGACAAGAAUAUGAAAUGAGAAAAAUGAAACAGGCAUGUAAGCUUCACAGCAAUACCUUUAAUAUCUACACUGCAAUCCAAAGUGGUCUCUGCACUGUUGUUUUAAUUAUAUAUAAAAUGCAUGCAGGAUGAAGGUCUUGAUGUGAUAUCAGAAGGUCUGGAUACACUGAAAAAUAUAGCUCUUGACAUGAAUGAGGUUUGUUCUUAUGUGAAUGGUUCUGGUUUGGUCAUGAUAUCAUGAGCAACAAGAAAUUAAUUUAUUUGCUUUAAAUAUGUUCAGGAAAUAGAUAGACAAGUUCCUCUAAUGGAUGAAAUUGAGACAAAGGUGAGAAUUUUUCUUAAUGCCAUGUCUCUUCAGUUUGGCCUUAGAAUCAGUUAAAGCAGACAACAUGGACAAAACCCAUAAAUGCAUCACUUAAUACAGGUUGACAAGACAACAUCUGAUAUUCGAAAGAAUAAUGUUAGACUGAAGAAAACCAUUACCCAGGUAAUUACUGUUUUCUAAAAAUGAUUGUUUCUUCCCAUUAAGCUUCCAAUAAAUAGCAUUUUGCUUAUGUUUGCAGAUAAGAUCCAGCCGAAAUUUCUGCAUUGACAUUAUUCUGCUGUGUAUCAUUCUAGGGAUUGCUUUCUAUUUGUACAAGUAAGCUCCUUAUUAUCUUGUAUCUUCUUUCCAUAUAAUGAUUUCUGGAUGCAAAUGUUAAAUGCUUUUGCAUGUAUGUCCAUUCAUUUUCUAAGGAAAUCUUUCUCUGUUGGCAGUGCACUGAAAUGAAUAGAGGCUUUUAUGUACGUCCAUUUAGCCCUAAGGAACCUACAGCUAUACUGUUUAUUUUACUGUAACAGGACAUGAUUUUUUUGCCCUGCAAUAAUAUAUGGCUUUGUAGCAUUGCUGGGUAUAUCUGUAUAUCAAUAAAACAUUUUUAUGUUUCUAUUUCACCAUAUAUAUAUUUAUUUGACAACUUCUUAUACUUGCUAGGAGAUACUUUCUAUAUACAUAUCUUAAGAUAUAAAUUUCUGUACAUUAUUUUUAUUAGAAAAACUUGGAAAUUUAGUUCUAAAGUUUUAUUAUACUUCAAAAUGGACACAAAUUAAAUUGUUUCAUUUGAAUGAAUAAAAAUGUACCGAAAGAUUUUUGUUUGGUAUUUUUAUAUUUUUGAGGUUCAACUUCCGGUUCGGGUCUAUAACCAUAAAAUAGAUACCGGAAUUAUUUAAAUGAUAAGGUUAGUUUAAUAUUUUAUGUAUUAAAUGUAUUUAAUUAUAAUCAUUAGUAACAUGUAAGUAAAUUAGAUGAUAAUAAAUAAAUCCAAUUAAUUUUUUUAGGUGAUGACUGCAUCAAAUAUUAACCUUUAAUCCAUUUUAUUACUACAUAUUUAAACAUUUAUAAUACAUAAAAAUAUAUCCAUAUCAUUAUUACAUAUUUAAAAACUUGUACUAAACAUUGAAUAGAGUAUCAUUAGAUGGUUCGCAUAAAAUUAUAUACCAUUACUUUCUACCUUUUGUUUAUUAUAUACGGGAAAAAAAUCAAGGGGUUUUUUUUUGUUUUUGUUUUUAAUUUAAAUUAAUACUAAUUUAACUAUUAUUUCGAAUCAAAAUAUAUAAUACUAAUUUAACUAUUAUUUCAAAAAAAAAAAUCAAAAUACAAUACGUUUUUUUUUAAUAGUGCAUAUUCAAAAUCCUAAUACAACUAAAAUUACAAAUCCUAAUUAUAAUAUUCCCCCAACCCCAACCUAUAUAUAUAUUUAUUAGUCACAUUGAAAAUUGAACAUUUAGCACCUUUCUCUUGUCGAUGGCGGAUUAUAGAGAAUACAUCCCUUUAGUAGAGCCUCAUACCUUCGAUCAUUCAUCUGACCCCAACCCUCCUCCAAGCGUCCAAACAUGCGGAGGGAGCUCAGAGGUACUACAAGGAAAUACUGCAAGGAAGCCUAGAGGUAGGCCUCCAGGCUCUAAAAACAAACCCAAAACUCCCACUGUUAUAACUAGAGACAACGAUUCAGCUAUGAAGACAGCGGUUCUUCAAAUCUCCGCUGGUUUUGAUGUUAUUGAAAACAUCAUCAACUUCGCCCGUAGAAACCAUGUCGGUGUUAGUAUAAUCAGCUCCACCGGCUUUGUUUCAGACGUCAUUCUCCGAUAUUCUUCUUCUCAAGGGGCGCCAUAUCGUUUUGCUGGAGCCUUUGGGAUCCUCUCCUUGUCUGGCUCAUUCUUUGCCGAUCAUAGUACUACAUCGACGCCAUGCUCUUCUUUUAAUAUAAUUCUUUCAGGGGGACAAACCCAAUUAUUAGGAGGAAUAGUAGCUGGGAAAGUAAUGGCAGCAACGCCAGUGACGGUUGUGUUGCUUACUUUUGCAAGCCCUUCAUUUUAUAAGCUUCCGUAUGAAGGCGAUGACGAAGAUCAUCAUCACCAAACAAUGCCUUGUAACAUUGAUGGUGCCAUCCAGUGUUACAUUCCAUUUAUUCCUUGGGCUUCUUCCUAGAAGACGAAUGACAUACCUGAGGAACUUAGCUACUUCAUGGUUUUACAUCAUCAUCGUCAUCAUUUAAGCUAGUUUUUCACUAUUUUGGAUAUUCCACCAAAUUUACAAACCUUAUUUUUUUUUUAUUGCGUCCAUUAUUGUUACUUCAUCCAUCAUAUAAUAUUUAAUUUCUUUAUCCUAAGAAAAUUUAACGUUGAUUAAUAUUCAGUUCCUUCUACAUGGAUAUAAAAUUAAUACGUCGACCCUAGAUUUUCAAAUUAUAUAUCUUCUCAAUAUAUAUUUAUUUAUAUCAUAUAUGCAAUGCACUCAACUGUGGGUAUAUACAGAAAUACUACCUGAUGUGUGUUAUAUUAUCAUUUGUUUAAUAUUAAAAUUAAAAAAUUCUAAUUAAACAAUUAGUUUGGAUUUUGGUAAUAAUUGGGGUUUAAUUUAAUUAAUAAGUAAAUUAUGGCAGAAGAUUAUUUGGUGUUUGAAUUUGUAAGAAUUAAGAAGUCUUUGGGGUGCAAAGAUACGUAUAUAUGUUUUAACAUUUAGAAUUAUGAAAGAGCUGAUAGACUACAAGUAACGUACCUUUUCUAUUGACUAUUAACCAACACUUCAAAAGGCAGAAAUGAACCUUUCAAUUAACUCCCACUUUGAGGCACAAAGUAUAAUGCAAGCCAUCAUUUGUGUACCCUUCUCUGGAUCGCAAAAAGAUGGUAUUAGGAAGAAUACCAAACCCACAUAUUCCUUAAUUUGCAGCUCCCAACAAGUAUAGUGUUGUCCACUACAUUAUCUACAACAAAUAUGAGUUUUUAAAGCUCAAAAUUAGUCAAAGAAGGAGAAGGAAAAUCUACCCCAUUUUCCAGGAAACAAGGUGAAGGAAGCUUUUGGUUAAAAACUUUCAAUGAAAAUUUUUGAAGAAAGAAAAUGUGAGAGAAGGAAAAAACAAAGAGUUUUAAAAACUCAAAAUAAAAUAAAUUCAUCAUAUCGAAUUAAAAGGAAUUGAACAUUUAGAAUUUAAAAAAUAAAAAAUAAACUUUAUGUCAUCUAUCAUGUGUUGGUCAUACAUUUAUUAUAUUUGCCACCGCAUAAAAUAUUUAACAUGAUUAGUGUUUUGAAGCAAAUUGUAAUGGUUUAUAAGUUUAGAUAUCAAAUUAGAUAAAAAAUUUAAACGUCAAAUUAAAAAAUUUCCAAAUUCAAGUAUCAAAUAUUAUAUUAAACAUAAAGAAAAACUUGCUUUUCAACACAAUACUAAACAAAUAAUUUUUUAAAGAAUUUAAUGGAUUUUUAAAUUUUAAGCAAACAAAUCCAAAAUGCUAAAAUUUCUAACUUUUGGAUUACUGUAAUUAGGCUAAAUCAAUUAUGUGCCAUUGUUAUUUAGCUUUUCACUUUUCUUGAAAUUGAUAUGGUUAAUACAACAAAUUCAAGUAUAUAUAAUAAUAAUUAUUAUUAUUAUCAUAAAUUUAAGCUUUUGAGUGAAGUUGUUAUAUAUAUAUAUAUAUAUAUUAAUUAGGUACUUAUUUUUUGUUUAUGUUAAACAAGUUACUUUUUUCAAUUACUUUGAGAAGCACUUGAUUUUCAAUUUCUUCUGGAUGUUGUUGCUGUAGAUUCCUUUUUUCAAUAAAUAUUAAAUAUAAUUAACUUUAAUGUAAUCAUAACUACUAAUAUUUAGAAACAAAUUAAGAAUAUAAGUUCCAUGUUUCUUGUGAUGAGUAGGUAUGAAAAAUUCUAGUCUCCCAACUGAAUGACCUUUAAUUUCCUACAAAAUCAACAUUAAGAAUAUAGCAACGUUAAAAGAUGAUAUGUCAUACAAUACAAUCGCUUGUAUAAUCAUUUGCAACACUUCAAAUGCAUUAAAAAUUGUAAGAGACAAAAAAGUCAAAGACUAUUAUCCAAUCUAAAUCCUCCUUUCUAAAAAUCCAACAUCAACAUCCACUCUUAACGUCGCAAGAUAUACAAAAUAUCAAUAAUCCAAUCCAACCAAACAUCAGAUCUAACUAUCUUUCCAUACAAAAUCAAAACAACCCAACAAAAAUAAAUCCAUUACAAAUAUUGGGCAGUUAUAAAAAAUUUACUGAUGUGGGUGACCGGAGGAAGUCGGACGUGACGUGAAAGGUUGGUCGGCUGGACAGGGACAGCAGUAGCGACGGAGGUGGGAGAGUGAAUAGAUAGGGACUUAGAAUUUUUUGAGUUAGUUGAAACAAAAAAGAGUAGUAGUGGUUUUUUUAAGUAACCCAACAACAGCGUUGAAAAAACAAAAUGACGUCGUUUUAAUCAAUAAAUUAAAUAUAUUUAAUGACAUUUGACAUUAAAACAUCGCGGAAAAGAGAUAUCUAUUGCAGCGUUUCCAACACCAAACGUCAUUAUAUAUCAGUUUAAAAAAUAAAAUAAUUUUUAAUUUAUUUUUUUAAUAUAUUUAGAGGCAUUUUCUUCAUUAUCAUUGUUAAUUAUACACACAUAAACUAGAAAUGCCGCUAUAUGUCAAUUUAAAAAUAAAUAUAUAUUAUCUAUUUUUGACAUAUUUAGGGUGUUUUCUCCUCAAACACCUUCACACUUAUGGCGGUGUUUUAUCGUUAAACACCAUUAUAUGUUAGUUUUAAAUGUAAUUUUUUUAUUAUUUAUUUUUGACAUAUUUAAAAGUAAAUGAUUCACACUUUGUAUAAAAAUUGUUCUAUGAUUUCGGCCAUUAACUUUCAUGGAAAUAAUUUCGUGCAAUUCAGAAUAACAUCUACUAUGGCUUUUAUUUAUAUAAACGUCGCUAAAUGUAUAAACUUGUGGUGUUUUUAACUAUAAAUGCCACUAUAGAUCGCCGAUAAUUCUAUGUUCUGUUGUAGUGGUAGUUGUUAUGGUUGUUUUACUUUCUCCAUAAUAGACUAGCUAUGGGUGAAUAGGAUUUUGUAGGGUUGUUGGACCUUAAACACGAAGCGAAAAGCCCCUGAACUAUUACUUAUUUAAGAGCAGAGAAGAAUCUUCAUUUUUUCUCCAUUUCUGAUAAGAAUUUUCAUCGAGAAAAGAGAACUUGUUUUGUUGAUUUAGAGAUGAAGAAACAAAGGGGUUGAGAAAAAAAAUAGAGAAGAAAAAUAGAGAUAGGGAGAAUGGUGAGAUGGAGAUUGUGAAGGAAAGGGAGUGGGAGAAAUGGAGAUUAAGAGGGAGAGGGUUGGGAGAAAUGAGUUUUUUAGUUUUUGGGUUUCCAACGUAAUUAGUGAUACAAAUAUGGGGCCCAAUUUUUAGCCUAAGAACAAGUUGGGCUUAACCUUCUACAAAGCCAAUUUGACAGGCCCAAAAGAUCAUGAAACUUGAGACUCAACUUGGAAGGAUUUUGAGCAUCCUUAGAGUUAAGCAAGAUUAUCAAGACUCUAAAUAUUGGUUUCAAGAAAACAAAUAUUAGAUUAUAUUAUGUUAAGAUUAUCAAUUAGUUUUUUUUAAUUUUAAUAUAAUUUGUAUUGAUUUUAUAUUAAAAUCAACCCAAUUAAAAACAACUUGAGAAAAAAAUACUUGUCAAGUGUUGAUUGGAUAAACUUUUUCAACUUAAUAGUGUUAAACUUAGGUACUAGUUUGUUUAACAAAAACAAAAUAAGUACCUAAUUGAAACAAAAAAGAUAUAGGUACCACAUUGAACUUUAAUGUCAAGCUCAAGUACCAUUUGGUACAUUAACCCUAUUUUUAUAAGCUUUUUAUUUUUUGCAAUAUUAUAUGAGUGGAAAAUGAUUUUUACUAUUACAAUCAUGAAUUCAAGUAAGGUUUAUUUAAUUAAUCUAACUUGCUUUAGAGUUUAGGAUUUAUUCAAGUAAUUUGAUAUUAACUUCAAGUAUGCUACUUUUAAGGUUGUUUCAUCCAUCCUCCUCUAUCGUUACUUCUCAUGUGAUGGAUCAAUUCAAAGGCGACCAAAGCAUUACUGGUUAUGAGUUGACCAAGCACAAAAGCGGAUUGCAUUGGAGAAUUUUACAUAAACAAUGGAUGCAUAACCCUAUUUAAAUCAAAUUUGAAUAGUAUUAUGAUAAUAAAUUGAUUUAUAUUUUCACUACAAUAUGAAAAGUCAAAAUUGAAUAAUUCGCAAUUGUAGCAACCCGAUAUCUAGUGUUAAUGAAAAAUGUAGUGUUGGAAUCUUGUUUUCAUAAAUUGUGUCUAUAAAAAUUAAAUAAGGAUAUUUACGAGUUAGUGUAUAGAUGAAUUGAAAUUUGGAUGAUGAAUUGAAAUUUGAAUAAGUAAUUUAGCCAAAAUUUGAGUAAUUAAGGCUUAGUGACUAAAUCGUAAAAGUUUAAUCGCUAUAGAUUUUUAAUUAGGAAAAGGUUAUGGAACUUAAAUUGUAAUUAUCCAAAUGACCAAAAUGAUUAAUAAACCAUUAUUAAAAACAUGUUAGUGGACGGUAUUGAUAAUUGGUGAUUAAACUAAUUAAUUUUAAUUAAAACUAUAAUAAAUGAUUAUUUAAAGGUUUAAUUAGAUUAAGUAAAGCUUGAUUAUUCAUAUAAAAGGGAGCUUAGUGGAAGGAGAGAUGAUAAUUCAUCUUCUCCAAUCGGCCAAAGUAGAAAACCUAAGAGAAAAAUACUAUUUUUUGGAAGCUUGAAGCAUUUGACCCCUAAUUCCAAGUAAGUCCCUAGCCAUUUUUAUAAAUUUUUAUAGAUUUGAGGUAAUGGGAGCUUGAUUUAGCUAGCCCAUGUACUAAUUUGUAAAAAUAUUAGAAAUUGUUGAGAAUUGAAUGAAAUUGGUGUGAAAUUGUUAGAAAUUAAGCUUAGUAUAUAAAAAGGACUAAAUUGCAAAAAUUAAUUGUUAGUGUCGUAUAUUAGGGACCAAAUUGAGUAAAAUGAAAAAUGUUAUGAAAUGUUGAUAGGAAUAGAAAAUAGAAGAUCCCUUAUGAAUUUUGGUGAAAUUGGAUUCUAAUCCGAGGCCCUGAAUUGAAAGUUAUGUUUAUCCUAAUUUUAGGGACUAAAUUGAAUAAAUUGUAAAAUAUGUGUAAUUUAGUAUUUGAUUUUGAAUUGUUCGGAAAUUGAUUGUAUGAUGUUUUCUGAUUAUUCAUAGCUAACGACAACACCAAACAGUCGAGAGGGAAAGGAAAAACAAAAAUCGUUGACGAGUGACGCAUGAAACCUUAGUUUGUACUUUUAUGAUUCGGGAUAGAAAUAUUUGAUUGUAUACACAUAUUUAUUGAUUGGUGAGUCAUUGAGGUGAGUCUAUUGUGAUAAUGUGAAAUGUUUUGAUUGAAUUUGAUAUGGAACAUCGAUAUAGGAGACAAAAAUGAAAAAAAUGAAAAAUGAUAUGUAAUACUUGAAUUGUGAUAUAUGAAAUGAAAAUUGAGUAGAUAUAUAUGGUAUGACAUGGAAAACAUGUAUUUAGGUGAUGAUUUGAAUUGUGAUAUGCAUAUGAUUGAAAAUGGUAUAUGUAGUGAAUUGUAUAUAAAACUGAACAUUAGUACCCUAUUAACUAGUCGGGUUAAGUUAGAUAUAGUUGGCAUGUUAUAGAAUUGGAUUGUGUACAAGUUUAUGUGCUUACGUGCCAAGAUGCGCUUCGCUUGCCACUAUGCACUUCCUGUGCCACCAUGCACUUUACGUGCUAGUUUCCUUUACUUCGAUUUAUAUGAUAAUACACUUCAGUGCCAGUCUAGUGUGUUGGUUGGACAAUCCGUGUAUUGUCUAAAUCUAGUUAGGUUAAUAGGGGGAAUUAAUAAUAAGCUCGAUAACUUAUCCCGAAAUGAAUUGGUAUGAUACUUGAGAAUUGAAUAAGUUCAUGUAUAAAUUGAAAUGAAUAAAGUAUGUAUCUUAUUACGCAAAACAACUAAAAAUGAGCCUUGAGGGUCGAAGUGAAUGUGAAUGAAUUGGUAGACUCCAGGAUUAGAUUGAAUGAUAAGUAUAAGAUAAGUAAAUGAAUUGAUCAUGAAAAUUUGAUUGAAGUGAUGCCUUUGACAUGUAUGUAUUUGUGUUAUUUCUUGAGUAAGUAUAAGUUCUAAUUGAUACUUGAAAGGUAGGUAGCAAAAGAAUGGAUUUGUCACACCCUAAUUUCUUUAAACCCGAAAAUUUAAAACAUUUAUGAGUUAAACUGAAAGAGUCUACAAACUGGCGGUCUAUAUUGAAAAACCAGGAAAAAUGAGGAAUGAAAUGAGAUAUGGUUGAAAACCAAGUCUAGUUCGAUUGGAUUAGAACUAGUUGGUCCCUUAAUGGAGGACAAAAUGAUUAUGGAUGAAUGGUUGUGAUAAGGUGAAAGGCCAAGCAUGAGAGGCUAUAUAUAUAGUUGGGGAAUAACUUCAUAGGGAGGAUUCAACUCUAUAUUAUUUCAUUGUCAUCUCUUCUUCAUCUUCUUCCUAAGUUGCUUUGAAGAAGAGACGAUUAAGGGAAGCUCUAUAUGGAGCGAUAAUCAUGAGGUUUAAGUAGGAAAAUAGAAUCCAGCAAGCUACUGUUAAGAUAAUGGGAAGCUCUGGCAUCAGGAAAAGCUAAGCUUAAGAAACUAAGGUGUACCAGUGAGUUUCUAUACUCAAACCCAAAACUAGAAAAGUUUAAUGCAUGCUUUCAAAAGUUUAUAAGUAUCCUCCAUACUAGUUUAGAAUGCACGAUAAAGAGAAAUAAUAAAAGGGAAUCAAUGACGAGUUAGACGAAGUUAGGAAUGAGAAAAGAUAGAGUAAUUCUUUUAGAUACCGCUAUACGAUAUUGUUGAAUGCAAACUGUGUUUUGUAAAGCUCUGGGUCUUGCAGAGAGAACAUUGCGGUGUUUGAGUAUCAAUGUAUAGAAUGGUGAAAUGGAGGAAUGGAUGGAAUGAAAUAGCAAGAGUAAAAAUCAUGGCUAGGCCAUGGGACCAGUCGGAGGCUAUAGCCAAACCUUAGUAAGACCAUAUCUAAAAGACGCUAUAGCAUUAGGAUAAAAAUGAGUAAGACCAUGGUUGAAAGAUGUUUUGGCAUCAUGGUAAAUAGCACUAAGACGAUAGUUGAAAGACACAUGAUAUCAUUUAAUAGUCCAUUGAGACAUUAAACACGAGGAAUAUGAGGUUAAGGCCAUAGUUGGACUAUGAUAACCCAAGUUUUAAUAUCCCGAAUUAGGGCCUAAUCGAAAUAGUGGUUUCGUGACAAUAAAUCCGAGAUAGAAAUAAUUAUUUUAUAAUUAUUUUGAGGUUUAUGAUAUGAUUUCAUGAUUGUGUGAAAAUUUCGUGAUGAAAUUCUAUGCCUAAAGUGCUUAAAUUGAAAGUAGGGACUAAAUCAAAUAAGUUGCAAAACUUGCAUUCUAGAAGUUUUUAGUAUGAAAUUGUUUUGGAAUAUUAAUGAGGAGGUCUUAAAUAGCAAUUUGACCAAUUUUAAGUUCAUGGACAAAAUUAGGACAUGGAAGGAAUUUUUGGAAAGUUUAGUAGUAAGGGUAUUUUGGUCAUUUAGUUAUUAAAAUGAAUUAAAAACAAAAUUAAAAGCCAAUUUUUGUCCAUCUUCUUCAUUAGGCUGAAAUUUCAAGGGUUCUCCAUAGCUAGGGUUUGUUUCAAGCUUCCAAGCUCCAUAGUAAGUGAUUCCAAGCCCCGUUUUUAAUGAUUUUUACGUUUUUGAGAUCCCGGUAACUCGAUAAAGCUUAUGUUAGCAAUAAUUUAACCUAGGGUUUAUAUUUGGAAAAAUACCCAUAGGUGAAAUUUGUGUAUUUUGAUGUUUUAUGAUAGAAUAUGAAGUUUUAAAUUAUGUUAGACAACUUGUACUACUCGAUUUUAAGCAAAAACGAGUAAAAGGGCUUAAUCGGUAAAAAUACCUAAUAGUCACAAGUACAUGUUAGAGUGAGAAUUUGAUGUUGCCAUAGAAGAGAAAAGUGAUCAGCAUGUUGUAAAACAUAAGAAUAAGGAAUAAAGUUUAAUCCCGAGCCUAGGGGCAAAAAUGUAAAUAUGCAAAAGUUUAGGGGUAAAAUUGUAAUUUUUCCAAAAUUUGAGUUAAAGAUUAAUUUGAUAAUUUGAGUAUUAAAUAAGCUAAAUGUGUUAUUUUAAAUUAAGAAAGACGUGGAAUCGACCUCAAUCGAGGAAAAGAAAAGAUUGUAGACUAAAUUGCAAAAUCUUUGUAUUUUGGUACCAAGGUAAGUUCAUGUGUAAAUAAUGUAGCAUAAUGGUUAUUUUUAAGUUAUUGAUGUUAAUUAUAUGUUAUGCUGAAUUUUAUUAUGAAAUGUAUGCUUUGUGGUUAAUUUCAAAUAAUAUGUAAAUUAUGUGAACUACUUGUUAAAUAUAAUUGUUACUGAGUAUUGAUUUCGGCAUUCUACGGAAGACGGCAAGGAUAAGUGUUCGAGGAAAAAGCCCGUUUGAACCUUAGGAAUAGAUUAGGAUACAAGUGACAUGUCACUAGGAUGGUUGAGCAUCCGAACUCGUUGAGUUGAGUCCGAGUUCACUUAUGGAUGCGAAUGUUCGAACUCGUUGAGUUGAGUCCGAGUUCGUGAGAUGUAACUAGGCAUUCGAACUCGUUGAGUUGAGUCCGAGUUCACUUGUGGAUGCGAACGCCCGAGCUCGUUGAGUUGAGUCCGAGUUCGUGAGAUGUAACUAGGCAUUCGAACUCGUUGAGUUGAGUCCGAGUUCACUUGUGGAUGCGAACGCCCGAGCUCGUUGAGUUGAGUCCGAGUUCGCUUAUGGGCGGGUUACAUGAUUGCUUGAUUGCAUAUAUGGCACUUAUGUGCAAGUUAUCCAUGUAUCCGAAUUAUAUUCCGAUGUGUUCAACGGGUAAAGUUCUACUCAAAUGGAGGAAUAUUCGAGAUGUAAAGAGACGUAUUGGUAAGUGAUGUGAAAUGGAUAUUUUAGACAGGUAUGUAUUUAACCCUCGGGUUGAGUAUUGAUACAACCACGAUAAGGUAAUAAGAUGAUGAAAAAUGAUUAAAAAUGUGAUAUGUGUUUUAGUGAUACAUGCUAAUGUUGAUUGGUAUGACUGUUUGUUAUGUUACUUAUUAUUUGCAUAUGAACUUACUAAGCAUUUAUGCUUACUCCCUCCUUCUUACUCAUUGUAGUUUUGGACAAGCCAGCUCAGGAGUCGGGAUAGGUCGAAGGCUCAAUCACACUAUCCGGAAAACUUUUGGUAAUGGCUUGUAAAUUUAAGUAUGGCAUGUAUAGCAAUAUACCUUUUUUGUGUAAAUGAUCUUAUGGUAUGGUGAUGGAAUGGUUGAGGAAAUUCUUGAUAAUGAUAAAUUAUGGAAAUAGUUAGUUUAGAUUAUAUUUGAUGUUAAGGAAAAUUAUUAAGAUACUUAGUGCAUAAAAACUCAUAAAAGGGAUGAAAUUUGCCAUAAACAGAAUACUGCAGCAACACUGACGCGAGUUUAAAAAUUUACUAAAAAUCAUAGAAAUUGAACUUGGUGAUGGACUGCAUAUCAAAUUGAAGCUUAUUAUGUCUAGUUUCACAUGAAACAAAUGAAACAGGUAAAGGAAUUAUAUGUUACAAGAUAUUUGAAUUUUAGUGAAAUAUGGUCAUAGCAGUUUCUGAAUCCCCUGUUCCAACUUUAGAAAUUCACCAUAAAUUGUAAAGAUAUAAUUAGGUAGUGUAUUUUAUAUUCUCAGAAUCCUUAUUUAGUCUAGUUUCAGGAGAAACAAACCUCAUAGUCAUAUGGAUUUUUUACAGAGAGAAAUGUGGUUCGUAGUAAACAGAGGUCAGACCAGUCAAGUCCUAAAAUAGGGGUAACUUUAACUAAUAAACUGUACUAAUUGGCCCAACCAAAAAUUCUAGAAAAAAAUUAGUAGAUAGGUAUAUGAGUCUAGAUUUAGGGAAAAUUUACGGAUCUUGAUUUCGAGCUUCGUAACUCGAGAUAUGAUUUUUCUUGUGACUGUGAUGCAAGUAGCUUAAAAGCUGUGAAUGUAGAAAUAAAUAAUCCAAAGUUCUAAAUAUGUUAAAUUAAGCUUAGUAACACCUCAUACUCGACUCCGGAGACGGUCUCGGGCGUGGGGACGUUACAUUUAGUGGUAUCAGAGCAGGUUUAGUCGGUUCUCGGACUACUUGUUGUAUGUACGGAUUUUGCUAUACAUGCCAUAUGUAUGAAUUGUGAUAGUGUGACGACUUCUGACCUUUUUAAAUGAAUUUUUUUUAUAUAGUAAAUGGAUCCCGAUCCAGUUGUGGCAGAUGAAGUAGAGAGUAAUGCGCCAGCUCCGGCUGAAGGAGCAGCGCCGACUGAAAACCCACCCCUUACUGUUGGUCAGGGAGGAGGAGAAAGGGAUCGGGAAGCCUUUCUCCAAAUGAUGAGUGCAUGGUACACUGAGUUCGUUCGUACGAACCCAAAUGUACGACCUCCCCCACCUCCCCCAAUUCCUCAACCUGUACCCCCGAUGCCUCAAGGUAUGGAUAUGAUAAAAUUUCACAGAACCCCCGUUGACAGAAUUUGUAAACAAGGGGCUAAAGAAUUUAGAGCAAAUAUUGAUGAUGAUACAGAGAAAGCAGAGUUCUGGCUUGAAAAUUCUAUCCGGGUAUUUGAUGAAUUAUCUUGUACACCUGAAGAAUGUUUGAAAUGUGCUACAUUUUUGUUGAGAGAUUCAGCCUAUAAUUGGUGGAAGACUUUGAUUUCGGUGGUACCGAAAGAGAGGGUAACCUGGGAAUUCUUUCAAGAAGAGUUUCGGAAGAAAUAUAUUAGUGAAAGGUUUAUUAAUCAGAAAUGUAAAGAUUUUCUUGAGCUGAAGCAAGGUAAUAUGACAGUCUCAGAAUAUGAAAGAGAGUUUGUUCGAUUGAGUAAGUAUGCCAGGGAAUAUGUUCCUACAGAAGCCAAGAUGUGCCGACGAUUUGAAGACGGGUUCAACGAAGACAUUAAAGUAUUUGUCGGGAUCCUUGAACUAAAAGAAAUGGUAGUACUGGUUGAUCGAGCUUGCAAGGCUGAAGAACUUAAAGAAAAGAAAAAGGUAGAGGCUGAGACUAGAAACUGGAAGAAAAGACCGAUGAGUAGUUCAUUUUCACAGCAACCUAGAAAGUCAAGGAAUAUGAAUCCUCGUUCCCAAGCUUCAGCUGGACAAUCAUAUGGGAAUUAUAAGAAGCAAAAUGUGGGUCCUAAAUCUCAGAAUACUUCUGCAGCCAGUGUAGGGAACUCGAGAUUUGUUAAACCCGAGUGCCAGCGGUGUGGUAGAAAUCAUUUUGGUCCGUGCAGAGUAAAUGAAUAUUUUCGAUGUGGUUCUCCGGAUUAUUUUAUUAGAGACUGCCCAGAGAGAGCUGAGAGAGAAAAAUUUCAGAAUGUAAAAGUUAGUGGUGCAGACUCGAGGGGAAGGUAUCCGAGAAUAGCUGAAAGUGAAACAAGCAGUAAGAAUGUAGCCAGGGAUGCACCGGUUAGACCUGAAGGAAGGGCUCCGGCUAGAGCUUAUGCUAUUAAAGCGCGUGAAGAUGCUUCCUCACCUGAUGUGAUUACCGGUACAUUUUCUCUCUAUAAUGUUAAUGUUAUUGCUUUGAUUGAUCCCGGUUCUACUCAUUCAUAUGUGUGCAUGAAAUUGGUGUCUAGUAUGAAUAUACCUGUUGAGAACAUAGAAUUUAUGAUUAGAGUGUCGAAUCCGUUAGGCAAAUGUGUGACUAUUGAUAAAGUAUGUAAGAAAUGUCCUUUAAUGAUUCGGGAUCAUUACUUUUCGGCCGACUUGAUGUUGUUGCCGUUUGAUGAGUUUGAUGUUAUUUUGGGUAUGGAUUGGUUGACAUUGCAUGAUGCUAAAAUAAAUUGCAAAGAAAAGGUUAUAGAAUUAAAGUGUGAAAAUGGUGAAACUCUGCGGGUUGAAUCAGAUAAAUCAGAGGCAUUGCCUAGUGUGAUUUCUUCAAUGUCGGCUCAAAGAUAUCUGAGAAAGGGUUAUGAAGCUUAUUUGACGUAUGUAAUUAAUACAAAAGAAGUUGAAAAGAAAGUUGAAUCAGUGCCGGUUGUGUGUGAAUUUGCGGACGUAUUUCCAGAAGAAUUGCCGGGUUUGCCUCCAAUCAAGGAAGUAGAAUUUGGUAUUGAUUUGAUACCGAGAACAGCUCCGAUUUCGAUUGCUCCGUAUAGAAUGGCACCAGCAGAGUUGAAGGAAUUAAAGUCGCAGUUGCAAGAGUUGACUGAUAAAGGUUUUGUAAAACCGAGUUUUUCACCUUGGGGUGCUCCCGUGUUAUUUGUGAAAAAGAAGGAUGGUCCUAUGAGGUUGUGUGUUGAUUAUCGGCAGUUAAACAAGGUGACAAUCAAAAACAAGUAUCCGUUGCCAAGAAUCGAUGAUUUGUUUGAUCAGCUAAAAGGAGCGACAUGGUUUUCAAAGAUUGACUUGAGAUCUGGGUAUUACCAACUGCGGGUAAAGGAGUCGGAUGUGCCUAAAACUGCUUUUAGAACAAGGUACGGUCAUUAUGAAUUUUUAGUUAUGCCAUUCGGGUUGACAAAUGCUCCUGCUGUGUUUAUGGAUUUAAUGAAUCGCAUAUUUCGGCCAUACUUGGACAGAUUUGUUGUGGUGUUUAUAGAUGAUAUUUUAAUUUAUUCAAAAGAUGAGACAGAGCAUGCUGAGCAUUUGAGGAUAGUUUUGCAAACUUUGAGAGAUAAGCAGCUGUAUGCUAAGUUUAGUAAAAGUGAAUUUUGGCUUCGGGAAGUAGGAUUUUUGGGUCAUAUUGUUUCAGGUGAUGGUAUACGGGUUGAUCCUAGUAAAAUUUCAGCCAUUGUUGAUUGGAAACCACCGAAAAACGUAACUGAAGUUAGAAGUUUCUUGGGGCUAGCUGGGUAUUAUCGGCGGUUUGUAAAUGGAUUUUCUAUAAUUGCUGCUCCUAUAACUAGACUACUCCGAAAGGAUGUUAAAUUUGAAUGGACGGAAGAAUGUCAACAGAGUUUUGAAGAAUUGAAAAAGUUAUUAACUGAAGCACCAGUGUUGGUACAACCCGAAUUAGGUAAAGAAUUUGUGGUGUAUAGUGAUGCUUCUCUAAAUGGUUUGGGGUGUGUACUCAUGCAAGAAGGAAAAGUGGUGGCUUAUGCUUCGAGGCAGUUAAAGCCUCAUGAGAGGAAUUAUCCUACUCACGAUUUGGAAUUGGCUGCAGUGGUGUUUGCUUUGAAGAUUUGGCGAAAUUAUUUGUAUGGUGAAAAGUGCCGAGUAUAUACCGAUCACAAAAGUCUUAAAUACUUGAUGUCACAAAAAGACUUGAAUUUGAGACAGCGAAGAUGGUUGGAGUUAUUGAAAGAUUAUGAGCUUGUUAUUGAUUAUCAUCCGGGAAAAGCGAAUGUGGUUGCCGAUGCUUUAAGUAGAAAGUUGUUGUUUGCUUUGAGAGUUAUGAACACUCAGUUGAAAAUGUCAGAUGACGGUUCGAUUCUAGCAGAGUUAAGAGCAAGACCGAUGUUUUUACAAGAGAUUUCUGAAACUCAGAAAAAUGAUCAAGAUUUGCUAGCCAAAAGAAAACAGUGUGAAGCUGAUACGGGAUCAGAUUUCAGAAUUGGUUCUGAUGGGUGCUUAAUGUUUAAAGAUCGGAUUUGUGUACCGAAGAAUGAGGAAUUGAUUCAAAAGAUCCUACAGGAAGCACAUAGUGGUUAUUUCUCGAUUCAUCCGGGUAGUACGAAAAUGUAUAAUGACUUGAAGAAAAUGUAUUGGUGGAAUGGAAUGAAAAGAGAUAUAUCAGAGUUUGUGUCCAAAUGCUUAAUUUGUCAACAGGUGAAAGCUGAACACCAAGUACCUUCAGGAUUACUCCAGCCUAUUAUGGUUCCUGAAUGGAAAUGGGAUCGGAUUACUAUGGAUUUUGUUUCAGGAUUGCCAUUGACUCCGGGAAAGAAAGAUGCCAUCUGGGUAAUAGUUGACAGAUUAACUAAGUCGGCUCAUUUUAUCCCGGUACGUACGGAUUAUUCUCUUAACAAGUUGGCUGAAUUGUAUAUUAGAGAAAUUGUUAGAUUACACGGAAUACCAUUAUCGAUUAUUUCAGAUGGAGAUCAAGGUUUACCUCGCGGUUUUGGUAAAAGUUGCAAGACGCGUUAGGUACGAAGUUAAAUUUCAGUACUGCUUUUCAUCCACAAACUGAUGGACAAUCAGAAAGAAUAAUUCAGAUUCUUGAAGAUAUGCUUAGAUGUUGUGUAUUGGAAUUUCAAGGAAGUUGGGAAAGAUACUUACCGUUGGUGGAAUUUGCUUACAAUAAUAGUUAUCAGACGAGCUUGAAAAUGGCACCUUAUGAAGCAUUAUAUGGUCGUAAGUGUCGAACGCCACUGUAUUGGACUGAACUCAAGGAAAAUCAGAUUUAUGGAGUUGAUCUAAUAAAAGAAACUGAAGAAAAAGUGAAGAUAAUUCGAGAUUGUUUGAAAGCUGCUUCAGAUAGACAGAAAUCUUAUGCAGACCUAAAGCGAAAGGACAUUGAAUUUCAAGUUGGUGAUAAAGUAUUUUUAAAGGUGACUCCGUGGAAGAAAGUCCUUAGAUUUGGACGGAAGGGCAAAUUAAGUCCGCGUUUUGUUGGGCCGUAUGAAGUAAUUGAAAAAGUUGGACCGGUAGCAUAUCGGCUAGCAUUACCACCUGAAUUAGAGAAGAUUCAUGAUGUGUUCCACGUAUCUAUGUUACGUCGGUAUCGUUCGGAUCCUUCACAUGUAGUUUCACCGACAUAAAUUGAACUACAACCAGAUAUGACCUACGAAGAAGAACCGAUUAAGAUUUUAGCUCGAGAGGUCAAACAACUAGGGAAUAAAAAUGUUGCACUUGUGAAGGUGUUGUGGCAAAGGCAUGGAGUAGAAGAAGCUACAUGGGAAUCCGAAGUGUAACACCCCUUACCCGAGAUCGUUUCCGAAGUCGAGCACGAGGCAUUACUUAGCUUAUCUUACCAAUUCGGAGCAUAAAAACUAACGGCAUAACCAGAAACUCAUAAUGCCCAUACCUGGUUCUGAAAGCUGUCUUUGGCACAUCUGGCUCUUUUACCCGUAACUGAUAAUAACCCGAUCGGAGAUCAAUCUUUGAAAAUACUGUGGCACCUUUCAGUUGAUCAAAUAAGUCAUCAAUUCGAGGCAAUGGGUACUUAUUCUUUAUAGUUACCUUAUUAAGCUGCCGAUAGUCAAUACACAAUCUCAAAGACCAGUCUUUCUUUUUCACAAACAGAACUGGAGCACCCCAAGGUGAAUGACUCGGACGAACAAAACAUCUGUCAACAAGUUCCUGUAACUGUGCCUUUAACUCUUUUAAUUCUGUAGGAGCCAUACGAUACGGAGCUAUGGAAAUUGGGGCAGUUCCCGGAAUCAGAUCUAUAGAAAAUUCCACUUCUCUUUCUGGUGGCAACCCUGGUAACUCCUCUGGAAAUACAUCAGAAAAUUCACAUACAACUGGCACUGCCUGUAUCUUUGACUCAGAUACCUUAGUAUCCAACACAUACGCCAAAUAAACAUCAUACCCUUUUCUAACACACCCCUGAGCUGUCAUAACUGAAAUCAUAUCGGAUAAUCCCUUUGUCUGAUUAGAUUUAACCCAAAGUAAUUCUCCAUUCUAGCAUUUCAACACAACAUAUUUUUGUCUACAGUUUACUACUGCAUCAUGCUGAGUUAACCAAUCCAUGCCCAAUAUCACAUCAAACUCAUCAAAAGGCAAUAACAUCAAGUCAACCGGGAAACAAAUACCUUUUACCAUCAGUGGACAAUUUUUACAAACUUUAUCCACUAUCACAAACUGGCCCAGGGGGUUCGAGACUUUAACCAUAAAUUCAGUAGGUUCAACAGACAAAUUUUUAACAAAUGCUAAUUUUGUGCAUAUAUAUGAAUGUGUAGAGCCAGGAUCAAUUAAUGCAAUAACAGUAGUAUCAUAGAGAGAAAAUGUACCCGCAAUUACAUCAGGAGAGGACGCCUCUUCACGAGCUCGAAUAGCAUAUGAUCUUGCAGGUGCUCUAACAUCUGAUCUAACCGCUGAAUCUUUGAAUGCACAACUGAUGGUUGUUUAUUAUUCAGAGGCAGAGUAUGUGUACCGAAGAAUUCAGAACUUGUACAGAAGAUUUUACACGAAGCACACAGUGGUAUUAUGUCCGUACAUCCGGGAGGUAAUAAAAUGUAUAAUGACUUGAAAAAAAUGUAUUGGUGGCCGAGUAUGAAACGUGAUAUCUCUGAGUUGUUCCAAUCUGAAAUUCUGAAUCAUUACUUGACUCACAAUGCACCCGUUUAGCCUGUAAUUUCUCAUCAUUCCUCUGAGCUUCACAUAUUUGUUGAUGAAAUGUCGAUUUAGCUCUAAUUUAAAGUUUCAUAACAAUUGGACACCUCUAACAUGUAGAACUCAACUUUUGCACUUUUUACAAUUUAGUCCUUUUGACUAAAUUGAGUGCCCAAACGUCGAAAUUUUCGAACGAAAUUUUCAAAAAAUCAUUUUGUGAAAUUGUAGACCAUAAAAAUAUAAGAAAAAUAAAAUUUUUCUCAUCGGAUUUGUGGUUCCGAAACCACUGUUCUGAUAACCUCAAAUUUGGGCCAUUACACGAAGAAACUAUGAGAAAUCAAUACCCACAUCUGUUUACCGGUAAGAUUUUCGAGGACGAAAAUCCUUAAAGGGGGGGAGAGUUGUAAUAUCCCGAAUUAGGGCCUAAUCGGAAAGUGGUUUCGUGACCAUAAAUCCGAGAUAGAAAUAAUUAUUUUAUAAUUAUUUUGAAGUUUAUGAUAUGAUUUCAUGAUUGUGUGAAAAUUUCAUGAUGAAAUUCUAUGCCUAAAGUGCUUAAAUUGAAAGUAGGGACUAAAUCGAAUAAGUUGAAAAACUUGCAUUCUAGAAGUUUUUAGUAUAAAAUUGUUUUGGAAUAUUAAUGAGGAGGUCUUAAAUAGCAAUUUGACCAAUUUUAAGUUCAUGGACAAAAUUAGGACAUGGAAGGAAUUUUUGGAAAGUUUUGUAGUAAGGGUAUUUUGGUCAUUUAGUUAUUAAAAUGAAUUAAAAACAAAAUUAAAAGCCAAUUUUUGUCCAUCUUCUUCAUUAGGCCGAAAUUUCAAGGGUUCUCCAUAGCUAGGGUUUGUUUCAAGCUUCCAAGCUCCAUAGUAAGUGAUUCCAAGCCCCGUUUUUAAUGAUUUUUACGUUUUUGAGAUCCCGGUAACUCGAUAAAGCUUAUGUUAGCAAUAAUUUAACCUAGGGUUUAUAUUUGGAAAAAUACCCAUAGGUGAAAUUUGUGUAUUUUGAUGUUUUAUGAUAGAAUAUGUAGUUUUAAAUUAUGUUAGAUAACUUGUACUGCUCGAUUUUAAGCAAAAACGAGUAAAAGGGCUUAAUCGGUAAAAAUACCUAAUAGUCACAAGUACAUGUUAGAGUGAGAAUUUGAUGUUGCCAUAGAAGAGAAAAGUGAUCAGCAUGUUGUAAAACAUAAGAAUAAGGAAUAAAGUUUAAUCCCGAGCCUAGGGGCAAAAAUGUAAAUAUGCAAAAGUUUAGGGGUAAAAUUGUAGUUUUGCCAAAAUUUGAGUUAAGGAUUAAUUUGACAAUUUGAGUAUUAAAUAAGCUAAAUGUGUUAUUUUAGAUCAAGAAAGACGUGGAAUCGACCUCAAUCGAGGAAAAGAAAAGAUUGUGGACUAAAUUGCAAAAUCUUUGUAUUUUGGUACCAAGGUAAGUUCAUGUGUAAAUAAUGUAGCAUAAUGGUUAUUUUUAAGUUAUUGAUGUUAAUUAUAUGUUAUGCUGAAUUUUAUUAUGAAAUGUAUGCUUUGUGGUUAAUUUCAAAUAAUAUGUAAAUUAUGUGAACUACUUGUUAAAUAUAAUUGUUACCGAGUAUUGAUUUCGGCAUUCUACGGAAGACGGCAAGGAUAAGUGUUCGAGGAAAAAACCCGUUUGAACCUUAGGAAUAGAUUAGGAUACAAGUGACAUGUCACUAGGAUGGUUGAGCAUCCGAACUCGUUGAGUUGAGUCCGAGUUCACUUAUGGAUGCGAAUGUCCGAACUCGUUGAGUUUAGUCUGAGUUCGUGAGAUGUAACUAGGCAUUCGAACUCGUUGAGUUGAGUCCGAGUUCACUUGUGGAUGCGAACGCCCGAGCUCGUUGAGUUGAGUCCGAGUUCGCUUAUGGGCGGGUUACAUGAUUGCUUGAUUGCAUAUAUGGCACUUAUGUGCAAGUUAUCCAUGUAUCCGAAUUAUAUUCCGAUGUGUUCAACGGGUAAAGUUCUACUCAAAUGGAGGAAUAUUCGAGAUGUAAAGAGACGUAUUGGUAAGUGAUGUGAAAUGGAUAUUUUGGACAGGUAUGUAUUUAACCCUCGGCUUGAGUAUUGAUACAAUCACGAUAAGGUAAUAAGAUGAUGAAAAAUGAUUAAAAAUGUGAUAUGUGUUUUAGUGAUACAUGCUAAUGUUGAUUGGUAUGACUGUUUGUUAUGUUACUUAUUAUUUGCAUAUGAACUUACUAAGCAUUUAUGCUUACUCCCUCCUUACUCAUUGUAGUUUUGGACAAGACAGCUCAGGAGUCGGGAUAGGUCGAAGGCUCAGUCACACUAUCCGGAAGACUUUUGGUAAUGGCUUGUAAAUUUAAGUAUGGCAUGUAUAGCAAUAUACCUUUUUUGUGUAAAUGAUCUUAUGGUAUGGUGAUGGAAUGGUUGAGGAAAUUCUUGAUAAUGAUAAAUUAUGGAAAUAGUUAGUUUAGAUUAUAUUUGAUGUUAAGGAAAAUUAUUAAGAUACUUAGUGCAUAAAAACUCAUAAAAGGGAUGAAAUUUGCCAUAAACAGAAUACUGCAGCAACACUGACGCGAGUUUAAAAAUUUACUAAAAAUCAUAGAAAUUGAACUUGGUGAUGGACUACAUAUCAAAUUGAAGCUUAUUAUGUCUAGUUUCACAUGAAACAAAUGAAACAGGUAAAGGAAUUAUAUGUUACAAGAUAUUUGAAUUUUAGUGAAAUAGGGUCAUAGCAGUUUCUGAAUCCCCUGUUCCAACUUUAGAAAUUCACCAUAAAUUGUAAAGAUAUAAUUAGGUAGUGUAUUUUAUAUUAUCAGAAUCCUUAUUUAGUCUAGUUUCAGGAGAAAUAAACCUCAUAGUCAUAUGGAUUUUUUACAGAGAGAAAUGUGGUUCGUAGUAAACAGAGGUCAGACCAGUCAAGUCCUAAAACAGGGGUAACUUUAACUAAUAAACUGUACUAAUUGGCCCAACCAAAAAUUCUAGAAAAAAAUUAGUAGAUAGGUAUAUGAGUCUAGAUUUAGGGAAAAUUUACGGAUCUUGAUUUCGAGCUUCGUAACUCGAGAUAUGAUUUUUCUUGUGACUGUGAUGCAAGUAGCUUAAAAGCUGUGAAUGUAGAAAUAAAUAAUCCAAAGUUCUAAAUAUGUUAAAUUAAGCUUAGUAACACCUCAUACUCGACUCCGGUGACGGUCUCGGGCGUGGGAAAGUUACAUAAGUAGUCUACUGGGACAAUAAACAGGGGGUUCUAAUGUGUAAAACCAUAGCUGAAAGAUGCUAUGACAUUAAAAGAUGAUUUGAUAGUAGAAUGAAUAAGACCAUAGCUGAAAGACACUAUGGCAUCGUGGAUAGUUCGACAGGAUAAUAAAUACGGGAUUGUCUAAUGGGAUGUUAAACACGAGAUUGUCCGACAAGACGAUUAACACUGGGUAUAUCGUGUAAGACCAUAGUUGGCAGACGCUAUGACAUCAUAGGUAGUCUAUCGAAACUAAAAACACGAGGAUUGCAGAGGUAAGACCAUAGUUUGACUAGGGCAACCAAUCGAAUCACUUAGGACGACAAACGUGUGAUUGUACGGCAUAAUAUCAUGGCUCGACUGUAGCAGCAUAAGAGAGUUCAUCGAAACAAUAAACAUGAUUGUGGAGUAUUAUAGGACAUAGUGGUCCGUAGUAGAAGAAUGUACUACGCUUAAAGGUAAAACAAAUAAGGCAUAUUACCAAAAAAAAAAAGUAAUCUAACUACUAUAUAGAAUAAGCGAGACUUGUUCCGCCAAAAUGGCAUGGGAUCUUGAUAGCCAUACUAAUGAAUGAACGUAAGUAAGACAUACAAAAUUUAGAUAAGGAAAGAGUUCGCCACAGACUAAACAAAUUGAGAACAUUCCCCAAGAACCUUAAUAGGGUAAGUUAGAAUGCUGCCUUAAUACAAUAAAAUUACGGAAAGAAGAAACCCAUGAUAGGGAUAAGUGGAAAGAAAAAAAAAGGUAAAGAAAGGAUAAGAACUGCGAGAGCAACGAGGCAUUCAGAAGAGCCGUCAGAUUGGCUUGAUGGCAGAGUAGAUGGUCCGCUAGAACUGCUUAAGAGAAACAUUCCCAGUAAGCAGGGAGUUUAUUGUAUUUACUAUUGUUAUUAAUUAGAAAAAUCCCGAUAAGAUGGGAUAUGUUUUGUGUAAUAUAGAAACUCACUGAGUUCGUUUGAACUUACAAGGGUUGUUCUAUGAAUGCAGGAGAUACAUGAUAAGAGACUCAAAAAGGGACCAAGCCAGAUUGCAUUAAGAUAAUGGGCAUUGAUAGAAAUUGUCAUGCACACAAGACAGGGGGUCACCUUUAGAAACUUCGCCAAGAGGGGCGAUUAUGAUGUAUUUAUUUAGAUUCCAUAGAGUCCGUAGUGCGAACAGUAAACUUUGUUUAAAAUUUAAACUGAUUGUGAGAUUAUUAAAAUUUUAGUAUGAAUGAUAAACUGGUUCAGUUGUGAUGCCCGUACCCGGAUCUAGAGAAUGAGUCGAACAGAGGUAUUACAGGAUUUGAUGGGAAAUAUUGAAUAAUUUAGCUUACCAUUUGGUAUAUGCUCAUCUUCAUAUAUAUAUAUGAUCAUACCAAGGUUGCAUUAUGAGUUCAUAUGUCUUAUGUCAUUCUACUUAUGCUAUAUUAUGAUAUCUUGAAUCAUGAAAGUAUAACUGAGCCCUAUUACUCAGCGUACGGUUUGUUUUUUCCGUGCGCAGGUUUAGUUUCUCCUCGAAGCUUCGGGAGUUGAAGUCAACAUCCAGACCACCAUUUUCGACUCAACAAAGUUUGUAUAGUUUGUUCAUUUUGGUCUUGUGGCAUGUACCUAAGGACACCUUGCUAAAUGUUUCAAAUGGCUAAGCUGUACAUGUUGUGAUCUUAUGCAAAUGUUUAGAAAUUGUGCUUGAAUAUGCUCAUAUAGUUGAUUUGGCGUCUUAAGGUUAAUGGCUAUGCAUUUGUUAGAAUUUUUGGUUUGUUUUAGAGUAUAAAUGGUUAAAGUUAGACUUGAUAGUUAAUGUUUUUGGAAAAUACCAUUUUGGUAUAUUUUCGCUUGAUAUCAAUUGGUAAGUUGAUGAUUUGGUUGUAUAGGGAGAUAUACAUGUGAUUUCAGGUCAUUUAAACUUGUAACAAGCUGAUUUUGAAAGUAACAAUUUGUCAUGUCGCGGUGACGAACCUCUGGCAUUGCGACGAGAAACAACUCAACGUCCUUGUUGUGACGACAUAACCUUGAAGUCACGGUGAACCCUUGUCAGAGAGUCAUGCCGCGACGAGGAAAUCCUCGAAGUUAGGACGUCAACUCAAGGUUUUGUAAUCUUUACUAUUUGAUUUAUUUCGACCUCAGGUUAGUAAAAGAGCUUUCGUAGGCUCAUAUAAGACCCAAAAAUGGUAAUUCAUUGUUUUAAUAUGCAUGAUUUGCUUGUAUUUAAAUGUAUAAUGAUGUUGACUUGAAUGCUAUUAAUUGUAGUUGCUCUGACAACGAAUGUGGCACCUUGUAACUUAGACUUGGUGAUUGAGUUAAGUAUCGAGGUGUUACAACAAUUGUCUGUAAUUUGAGAAACCAAAUAAAAAUGCUAAAAUAUAAUAUUUUUAAAUGAAAUAAUUUUAUUAUCUUUAUAAUUAUAAUUUUUUUCAAAAUAACAUAAAACAAUUAAAAGUUCUUUAAUUAUAUUAGAUUAUGGCACAUCCGGUAAAUUUGUGAAAAACAAAAGGGAUAAUAUAUCACAUUUGGUACAUGUAUUUUCAUAAAAUGUCCAAUAUAAUUCCUGUACUUUGAAAAUAUCUAAUGUGGUAUUUGAACUAUCAAUAUGUGUUUUAUUAUGGUAUUUUACUUUUAUAAAUGUCCAAUGUGGUACUUGUACUUUGAAAAUGUAUAAUGUGGUACCUAAAUUAUCAAUAUUUGUUUUAUUAUGGUAGUGGGUGUUAACACCGUUAGUAAAUUGCUAAACUAACUAAUAAAAAUUCGAAACGUAAAUUUUUUUUUUCAAAUCAUCAAGUUCACAUAAAUAAUAUAACAUUAUGUGAAAAAUCAAAAUAAAACUAAAAUAAUUAAAUUAAAUUAAAUUAAAUUAGAAAAAAAUAACAAAACAUAUUAUUAAUAAAAAAAAAAGCAAAUACUAAACCUACAUGAAAGUACUUGAUAUUAUUUAAAAAUAAAUUAAAAACAUUAUUUAAAAUGGAAAAUUUUUUGGAGAAGAUGAACAUUUACUUAAAGGGAGAAGAUGACAUUUUUCUAUUACGUAAGUUUAAUAUUUAUUUUUUAUUAACCAUAUGUUUAGUUAUUUUUUAAAUUUAAUUUUUCACAUAAUGUAAUAUUAUUUACGCGAACUUAAUGAUUUGAGAAAAAAAUUUAGGUGUCAAAUUUUUAUUAAUUAAUUUAACAAUUCACUAACGUUGUUAACAUCAGAUACUAUAAUAACACACAUAUUAAUAAUUCAAAUAUUACAUUAUAUAUUUUUAAAGUACAAAUACUAUACUUAACAUUUUAUGAAAAAUAUAAAUAGGUUAUCUCAAGGUAACAAAUGUUACAUUUGAUAAGAGUCUGGGUAUGAAAUGUGAGAUUUUAAAAAGUAGGAUAUUUUUUUUUUGAAAUUCAAAGUAAACUAAACUAACCGGAACCUUAUGUCGAUAAGCUUUAGCUACUGACAAAUCUCAAUUGGGGGUCCCCUCCACCCAUUGCCUUUUGCCUUCUGUCCACUCACUUCUCACGGGCGCCAACCAUCCCCCUCCCUUUCUCUCUCUCAAUCUUUUCACCUUUUUAUUUAUGUUUUUAACCCAAUAAGAAAAUCUCCAUGCUUCUUGCUACAAUUAUAACAUAAUCAUUUUUUUCACUUUAAACAAUCUUCAAUCUGAACACUUUGGCUGUAAAGGCAACCCCACUUCCUUUUUACAUUAUUUUAUACAUUUUUUUCUCCCUCCCUCGUCAUCAUUCUUUUCCUCUUUCUUUCAAAUAAUAAUAUUCAACUUCUUUUUUCAACAUUUAUUUUGCUCCUAUAUAAGUUUUGGACUUAUUUUUUAUAUUUUAAUUUAAUUAAUUUUAAUUUUUAUAUUUUUAAAAUUUUAAAGUUUCAAUCUUAACUUAAAUAGUAGCUGUUAAAUUUGUUGAGUACAAUUUCACUAUUAAUCUUAUACCGUGUUAUAUAAAGUGUUUCAUUAGCAUUUGGUAUCAGAUUUGGGUAUUUGUGUGUUGUUUUCUUAUGCUAUAUAAAGUGUUUUGUCAAUUUACUUAAGCGGUCUCUCAAAAAAUGAACAAAAAAAAUAAAAUAAUUUAAAAAAAAUAAAUAGUUUUUUUGGGUUGAAUUUCAUGUCCAAAAUUUUCAGAUAUGAUAUUUAUAACAUAAAUAGACUUCAGUUUAAUUUUCAUGAUUUUAGCACAUCUGGAACACCUUAAAUGAAAAAUUCAAGUUGUUUCCAUUGUUUCGAGUUUUCGGUUGGGUGGUUUAUUUUUAUUAUUCUAGCAUUAGGUUUUCUUUUAUUUUAGCUUUUCUUAUUCCAUUACAUAUUCUAACAUGUUUUCACUUAUUGUAUUAAUAGGUAUAAAAAGAGCUGUCUCUUUUUUCUCUACGUAACUUACUUCUAAGUUUUUCUUUAGCUUCUUAAAGCCUUAAGAUAACUUUAUUAGAUAGUGAUCUCAUAUCUUUUUUAAUACUAUUGAAUUUGAUUACUCUUUAAAAGGUACAAGCGAGAAAAUUUUUAACUUUUUUUCAUUGCCUUUUAGAGUUGUUUAUUUUUUUUAUUGUGAGUGUAUAAUGGUAAUGUUUAAAUUUUGUUGACAAACUUUUCUUAUUUGAGUUUUUUUUUAUUUCAACCACUAAUAAUGAUAUGCACACGAAAUAUUAGAGAAGAGAGUAAUCAGUUGUAAAAUUAUUUUUAUUAUUUUUAUUCUCCAAAUUUUGAAAUUUUUGCCAUUUCUUUUUUGCUCAGCAAAAGUACAAAAUCGGGGGUACAUCACUAAUCACCUUAUAACCAAGCAUAGAAAAACGAGGUUCUACCAAUGCCCAGUUUGGCAAGGGGUCAGCCAACCCAUUUGCCUCUCUGAAGGCGUGAUCGAAAUAUACGUUUUUAACAAUGUGAAUACAACAAUCAAUCUCACUAAAGAUGUUCCAAAACUUCCAUGGUCGAAUUUCAGAAUUGAACACCCAUCCCUCAAUACCUUUAAUGUAGCCACCGUAUGCAAAUCCAUGAACAUUGAACUUGACAGUGUUUUCAGCAAGAGGAUUCGAAGAAAUUCCGACUCUCUACGAAGGAAAGGAACUCGCAACAUCAACAUAGCUUUGGAGAGACCCGCCAACAUGCCUCUUUGGUACAACACAAUCCCUCCAAAAUAAUGAUCUCAGUUUACAAGAGAAAACAGUCUCUAAACCAUUCCAAGCUUGCCAUUCAUUCCUCAUUAGCCAAAUGAACCACAACGUAACCCCACACCCAAUCAUCCAUCUUUGUUUUAAAACACCAGCAUAACACUGGAUAAGCAUCUCUUUAGGUGAAGACGGCAUUACCCCCCCCCCCCCCCCCAAAACCAUUGGAAUAUCAUACAUGAGUAUACGAGAGCUAUAUUCUUCAUAUGUCUUACACCAACAGCAAGGUCAUUGGUAACACGCACAACUAUUGCACUAGUACUCUAUCUCUCAAAAACCACUUUGAAGGCAAAGCUAUCCUUUUUAACAAGCCAGAGAAAAUAUUCUACCUUUAGCCGCAUCAAGAUAAUCCAAAGCCACUCUUCCAUCACAUAACCAUGACCAUUGUUCUCUAACAAAGACUCCUUAAAAACACUCAAAUAGUUAUAUUUAACCCACCUGAUUUCACACUCUAUUCACGGAUUAAAUGUGGUCGAGUUUAUUACAUUAUAACAUGUUGAAUGAACAUAUCACAUCACUUAAAAGUAUCAUGUAUGUCCAUUUCCUUUAAUUCUCUAACAUACAAGACAAUUGUACAGUAAUUUUACCUAAUUCAUUCUCUCUCUCUCCAAUCUAUUUUUUAAUUGGCAAUGGAGGGAAUUCUUGCAUUUUUUGAAUUAUCUGAAUUGAACCCUCAAAUUUAUCUCAAAAUCAAAAUCCAUAAAAUAUUUGAAUUUGUAAAAAAUCAAUUUCACAAAUUUCAAUAUUUUUUAAAUAUUUAAAUCUACAAAAAUUAUAUAUAUAUAAAGUCAAAUUUAUAAACUUUUGAGAAUAAUAAAUUCAAAUAUUUAAAUUCGAGUCACAUUAUUAUUAACUUCGAAUAACAAAUAUCCAAAAUAUCUAUUCAUAUCUACAUUAAAACUACAGCAAUUGAUAAUUUUAAUUGUAUAAUAAGUAAUAUCCAAAUUUAAAAAAAUUAAAAUAACCGAAUCCACGAUUCGAUUUCUCAUCCCAAAUUUCUCCACGCUAUAUCGUAAGUGUAAUUUGUAUAUUUGAAUAUAAUAUAUAAUAUAAAAUAGAAAGGUGGUCCAUCUGAGUCUAUGGCUGAUGGCUGACUUGGAAAGAGAAGCCGUGUAAGAUAAGGUGAGAGAAAGGGAUGGGGAGGAGGAAAUAUUCUCUCCAGCUAGCUUUCUUUUUGGAGUUUUCUUCUGGGUUUUAACCCAAUUUCUAAACAAGCUCUUGUAUCCUUGCCUUUGAGUUCAAAAAAAUCAAGCUUUCUCUUGUUUUUAAGAUUUAAAAAAACACAAGAAACAAGAAAACAGAAUUGUUGGGUUGUGCUUACUUUGUAGUAAAGCCUCUUGGCUUUUUUAGUAUUAUCUUCAGUUUUUGAAGUACUACAAACAAAGCUGCUUCAGCUUGCGGUGUUUUGGUUUUUAUUUUGUUUAGCCACUUUUGGAUAGAUUUGCAGUGCUCCAUCACUUCAUCAAAUCACCAAAAAUGAUGUCUCACGAUGGGAUUUCCAAUUCAAUUCCUUCCACCAUCAGAGGGUUGACUCAACAACCAAAUCCAAACCCUAACCCUACUCUUAGUGUGAAUCCCUCCAAGAAGAAAAGAAAUUUGCCAGGCACACCAGGCAAGUCUGUCAACUUUCAUUCUUGUUUGAUUUUAUUUUUACAACUGCUUUCCUUGAUGGGUUUGGUUGUUUUUUUUUGUGGGAAUAAGCAGAUCCAGAUGCAGAAGUUAUAGCUUUAUCUCCAAAGUCUCUAAUGGUGACCAACAGAUUCCUCUGUGAAAUCUGCAACAAGGGUUUCCAAAGGGACCAGAACUUACAGCUCCACAGGAGAGGUCACAAUCUGCCAUGGAAGCUCAAGCAAAGAACCAACAAAGAGGUUAGAAAGAAAGUUUACAUCUGCCCUGAAAAGACCUGCGUCCAUCAUGACCCAUCGAGAGCACUAGGUGACCUCACCGGUAUAAAGAAACACUUUAGCCGUAAACAUGGUGAAAAGAAAUGGAAGUGCGAGAAAUGUUCAAAGAAGUAUGCAGUUCAGUCUGAUUGGAAAGCUCAUAGUAAGAUUUGUGGCACUAGGGAGUAUAGAUGUGACUGUGGAACCCUCUUUUCCAGGUAUUGCAAAUACAGUACAUAUAUAUAUAUGUAUGUAAGGUGUUUUCCAUAUGAUUAGUUUGUUGAGGAAUUAAAUGCUAACAUAUUGAGCAUUUAAUUUUAAUGUUGUCUGACCCAAAAGUAGAUAUAUAUCGGCUUCUUUGAUAUGGGUUUUUUUUUCAUUUUUUGUCAUGCAGGAAGGAUAGUUUCAUCACUCAUAGAGCUUUCUGUGACGCUUUAGCUGAAGAAAGUGGAAGGUUCACUUCGGUUUCAACGACGACUAUGAAUCCGUCAGCUUUUACAAAUGAUUUGACACACAUUGGGGGGGCCGAUAACUAUGAAACAGGCUUUAGGCCAGAGUUUGCUGCUGGUUCAGAGCUAGUCGACAAUGGUUUGCAAAAGCCAAGGCUACAAUUAUGGCUCGACCAAGCUAAUUCUCAGCUUAACCCAAUUGGUAUUCAAAGCAAUGCUAAUGCUUUCUUAGCACCAAAAUCUACAAGCUUGCCUGAAUUGGGAAUAGCUGCUGCACCAAUGAACAUGUUCGGUUCACUAUCACAAUCACAACAAUGGCUCAGCCAGUACCCACAGGCAUCAUUUCCAGGUGCCAACCUCUCUAUGUCAUCAGCAUUGCAAAGAGGACCAAAACAAGAAGAGAACAAGGGAGAUUUGUCUGAAUCGAUAACAUCUUUGUAUUCGAACAAUACCCAGAAUAGUCUCCGACAAAACCACACUCACAUGUCAGCCACUGCUCUCCUGCAAAAAGCGGCCCAAAUGGGAUCUACAAGAAGCAACCCUACAAUCACUAACAGUGGAUUAUUUGGGUUAAUGAGCUCACCCCCUUCAACAAUUCCGAGCCCCAUCAAUGACCACAACAAAAAUGAAGCUUAUUACAAGCUGUUUAAGCAAGCAAAUCAAUCUGAGAACAUAAACGAGGUAGUGAGUUCAUUGCCUUCAACGCAAGCAGCCAUCAUCAAAGAUGGGUCAUUUGUCAAUAACGCCUCCAUGAAGGCAAAUGAAAGACAAGGAGGCCAAGCGGUUGCAUCAAAGCUGAACACAAAUGCAAAUGAAGUGGAAGCAAGCUUAACCAGGGACUUCCUUGGUGUGGGAAGUCAAUCAAGCAGACCCUUCUUCCAGCAAGAGUUUGCCAAGUUUGCUUCAAUGGGCUCAGUUCAGCCAUGGAGUUGAUUCCAGUUAAGACUAGUUUGAGACAGAAGAGGUAGGUCAAAGGUGCUUAAUGGAGGUGCAUGCUAGCUUAAUGAAAAUGGAGAUGAGUGAUGAGUUUAUUAUACUCAGAAGAAAGGAAGCAGCAAGCAACGAGUCAACUCAGGAAGGGAAGGGGAGGGGAGUCUUGUGAUGGGACCACUCGACUGAAGAGAAAGAGACAUGGCAGUAUUUGGGCCCUCCAUGCACGUAGAGUUUUCACCAUUUUUUGUUUUGUUUUGUUCUUCUUAUUGUUAUUAUUAUUAUUAGUAUACCAGUCUAGUGUUUUUCUACUAGUAAACUUGUUUUAUUAUUAUUAUUAUUCUGAAAGCUUUUUUGAGAUUUUAGUUUUAAAUUUGCACUGUGUUUCCCACCCUAUUUUCAAAGCUUGACUGAAAUAAAAUUCGAAAAAUUACUAUGCAUGUUCAAGUGCCAUUUUCUAUUUUAAAAUAAGAAAAUAUAUUAUAAAAAAUCUCCUUUUGUUGCACGAAUGACUAGAUUACAUUUAACCUUCCAACUUAACCACAAACAUACAAAUAAGAACUGAGUCAUGAUACUUAUAUGAUGCGAACAGCAAAAAGUUGAGAUCUUAUUUUGAGAAAAGGAAAAAGUUUUCGCACUUCACGUUAUAAAAUCGACUAAAAGCAUCCACAGAAUCUUGUGUGUAUUCAUCACUUGGUCAUAUUAGUAGAAAGGGAAUAAUCAACUUUACUCUUUUACAAAUAAAUAAACCUGCUGUGUUUUACUUAAUAUCUAAAUCUUUCUACCAUUUAACAAUAAGACUGAUGACAUCAAAUAAUUUUUCUAAAUGAUGUUGCUUUCUCCUCUCGUUUAGAUCAAUAAAAAAAAAAUGUUUUUAUUGGUUUCAGUUUAUUUGGCAGAUACAAAAUUUAUACCAGAAGAGUGUUGAAGAAUUCCAACUAAAACUUGAAUCAUUAAUAGCAUAGGAUACUUUAGGAAAAUUGGUAGGCCAACGAAUCUGGCCACUUCCAUUCAAUUCUCGCUCCAUGCACCAUGUUUCUAAAUUAUACUACAACUAAUAUUCUUCAGAUGUGGUUUUUUUUUUUAUUUUAUCAAAUAUUUUUGAAUUUAACGUUUUUGUUUUUUUCAAUAUGAAACGCACGAUGAUGUAAGGAAUUUUGUUUAGGGAAUUAAUAAAAUUUAGAAAAAAAAAAGGUAAAGCUAAAAAUAUUUACAUUAAAUUGUUUAUUUCAAAAGUUUUUUCAUUUAAUUAAAGGCUUAAAAAGCUUAAAUUUAAUAUUUUACUUUUUGAAUAGUUUAAAAUAAUAAUUCUAACAUCCAGGAGUAGACCUAUUCAUAGUUUGAGUUACCCGUUCGAAAUUUGGGAGGGUUUUGACAAAAAUAUUAAGCCCAAAAACAGAGCUUGGGGAAAAAAAAUUAGGCCAUUUUAAAUUAUGGUUCAGGAUCGGGCUUGAACAUUCAAGGCCCAAGCUUGAGCCUAGCCCAACCCAGUCUGUUUUUAAGUUUAUGAUAUUUUAUAUUAUGUUAUUUUUAUAUAUUAAAAAAAUAAACCUAUACUAAAUAUAUAAUACUACUCUAACAUAAACAUUAAAAUAAUGUUAAUAUGACUAUAAAAAUGUUCAAUAAAUAAAAAAACUUAUAAAAUUUUAUUAAAUAUUAAAAUAAUAUAAUAUAAAUAUUUUUUUAAAAAAAUUAAAAAAUUAUGGGUGAGACUAAAAUUAGUUUGGGUUAGUCUUUUAUAAAUAUGAGCGGGUUUGGGUAAAUUUUUAGGCUCAUAUUUCAGACCAGACCAGGCUUGAGCAAGUAUAAAGUAUGUUAAUAUCAUGAUUUGAUUAAGUUGAUGCAUCUCUAGUUUGUUUUCGAAUUAUUUCAAUGUUGCAGUUAUUGUCAAAUUGUCUUUUUUUUUUGUUUUGGUAUUACUUUACAGACAUGAUAUUUGUACAUUAAUUUAUAGCGAUUUUUUUUAUUAUUUGUACUAUAUGUCAUGUCUUUCUAUUAUUGUUGUUCAUGGUUCCUAUUAAUAAUAGUAUUUUCUUUAAAAAAAUUAUAUUUUUAUGUUGAUGUAUAAUACACAAGUAGUAUUUUUAUUAGGUUAAAAUAUACUCCAAAUUUUUGUAUUCUUCAUCUAUUUUAAAUUUAAUCCACUUUUUUAGUACAAUUGAAAAGUAAGAGUCAUGGCCAAGUGAGUUAAUAAUAGAUUUUGAGGCAAUGGUGGCCCAUUGUUUAGUCUCCUUCUGAGCUGUCGGUUGGCAUAUUUGCAUUGUUGGAUAAGGACUUCUGGAGAAGCUGUUGCAUAGGCUGGUUGGAGUUUCCAUCUUAGAAUGGAGCGUCCAAUAAUGAUAUCGUGCCAUUCUUGUUAUCAAAAUUAAGUAGGUUUCAACAAGUGACGUUAUCUUUCAGGAUAAGAAGGAUGGAACGAAGGGUUAGUAACCUAGUUUGGAGAAGGCUGGUCAUUUUGUAGUUGCUGGCCUGCAAGAAGCGCGAGACAUCAGGGCUAGAAAUAAUGGUUGCGCCACCGAUGAGGCCAGAGCCGUUAGACUUAUAGACAUCAAAACUCAGAAUCCAGGGAGGGUCCCAUUGAUCAAUGGUAAGUGCUCUUUGGGGAAGAGGGUGAGAGGUAUGAGGGGUCAAAAGAGCAAGAAAUCGACAGAACGAAAUUGUUGAUGAAAACGAAGUUACUUAAGAGGUUAGGGAUGGGUUUUUUUUUUUUAAAUGAGAUUAUUUCUGGUUUUCCAAAUGAUCCGGAGUGAACAAGUAGUGAGGGUAAUAAAAGAAUUAGUGUUAAGCCAUUAGAGAAGCCGUUCAGAAACAAAUAAGGAAUUAAAAGAUUUAGAUUAAAUCGUGAGGGGAACCAAAUUAAAUAACUCUUGCAAAAUGACAAUGAAAAAACCCUCUUAGCAACCAAGUCUUUAGUAGGGAGGCAACCAUUGCAGAUUUUUUAAAGAAAGACAAUGAUCUUGAAGGAAAAAAUUUUUUUAUUAUGAUUUACAAUAAUAGUGUAAAGCUUGAACAACAAACGCAACUAGUGUGUCUUGAUCUCAAGCCACACUUAGAGUGAUGAACACCCUUGACCAUCAAGCCUCACAUGGGGUUCAUCUUGAAUGAAAAUUUGAGCCUCAUAAAUUAUUCCAAGCUUUUACAGAUUAUCAGAAUGGGGAGAGGGUGAAUUCAUUUUGUAGAAGAGUUGGUAGACAUUUUUAACUAAAAAAAAAGAGACCAUUGUGGUCAAAUUUCCAAACGUUCCUGCCUUGAAUAGAAAGGGUCUUGUUGAGAAGGUGAGCUGCUUGGAUUGAAUCUAAGAGAAUCAUACUCCUGCUAAGAUUCCAAUUACAUUUUCUGAAAUUAAGAUAAGAGAGAACAUGAAAAUCCAAAUCAUUGCAUCUGUUCUUAAUUAGGAGAGAAGAAUCAAGGUUAUGAGAUAUUCUACAAUUAGACCUGCCCCUACUUUUAUUCAAGGAAUUUAAAUCAUUUACAUUUGAGAUUUUAAGAUGUAAUCUAAUUGGUAACAUCAUUAAGCUUAUUAAAAUGUUAAUUUUUUAAUUACAUGGCUAUCAAGUGAGUAUUUUUUUAUUUUAAAAUAUCACACUAACAAAUUUAAUAAAAAAAAUUUAAUGAGAUUAACAAUUGGACUUGAAAUUUGAAAUUUGAAAAAUAAAUGAACUAAAUUCCUAGAAAUAACGGAAAAGUAUUAAAUUCUAAAUUUAUAAAAAAUAAAAAGACUUAUAACAUAUUUUAAUAUUUUUAUGAAGAUGUUAUUUGAUAAAUAAUUGAAAUAAUACUAAAAUUUAAAUUUAGAGUGAUUUUAUUUUCCACACAUAUAUUUCUCUCUUUAAAAUUUGGGUUCCUUCUGUUUCCUUAAAUCUUCAACAUCACAAAACUAUUCAAUUGGACUUUACUUCGGCUCGACACUCAAAAACCUAGUUUUGAAAGAUUGAAAUGUUUGGUCUUGUUAACAAAUUAUCACUCACUUAGAUCUCUCUUUGGAUCACUGUUGUUUUAACCUUAUCGGAAGUAAACACACCGCCUAUCUAAAUAUACUUUUAAUUGAAAUUGAAUCUGAAUCGAGUCCACACAUUACUCUUUCCUCGGCCCUUUAUUCUUGACGGUUGAAUCCAUUGUAAAGUCCUUUGUUUCAAAGCAACAAACUUUAGCUCUAUCUUUUUCUUCAAUUGGGACUUUCCAAUAUGAAAAAGAAAAUAUAUUUUUCUUGCAUCCGCCCCAGAAGUGGCCCUCCUAAAGUUCCAUUGGUUGGUUGGUUGGUUUAAAAUUUGAAGGUUUAGGUUUUCUUUUUUCUUUUUAAAUUAUUAUUUACAUCAUUCCUAAAUUAUUUUUUUUUUGAAUUCUUUUAUUUUUUAAAUUAAAAAUUAAUCUAUAUUUAAGCAUAAUCGAAUUUAAUCUUUUAAAAAUUAAAAUAAUACUUAAUUAUUCCUUUUAUUUCUUUUCAGAAGGCUUGGAGAAAGAAAUGUUUUAAUACAUGAAUUUGGGUUGAAAAAUUGAGCAUCUUUAUAAAAGUGCUUUGGGUUUUAGUCGGUUUAUGUUUCUAGUUUAUAAUUGUUUUUCUAAUAAUGUUAUAUCCAAUGUUUAAAUAUGUAUUUCUCUGUACAAUAUGUUUUACCAUUAUACUCAACAUUUAUUAAUAAUUUAGAAAGAAUUUUUUUAUACUUAAUUCAACUUAAUUUGAAUAUGAAUUUAAUCUAAAUAAAAUAUGAAUAUUUGAAAAUAAAAGUUUUCAAAAACAUGCAAUGAUGCAAAAUCUUAAAAAGAGAAAGGAGGAAGAAAGUGCCACAAAAUUCACAAUUACAAUUGAGAAAUAAGAGAUAACAAAGAAAAUUUCAAAACAAAAAUAAAUGAAAUCAACAAGACAAACUCAAAAUUCAAUCUUCAUACAGAACAUAAAUUUUUUAAAUGAUAAUUAUUGAAAAAAUAAAAAAAUACUCGCCAUCUUGAUCACCAUCAAAAUCACUGUUUUCUUCUUUUCUCCAUUUUCAUGGUCACAAAGAAAGUGCAAUAACUAGAGCAGCAACUCCAAACAAACCAACAUUUUGCAAGGUGGCCGCUUUGGAGUUAUCAGCUGGGGUAACAUCGGGGCUAUCAGCAACGGUGGUAGCCUUCUUAUUCUUCGACUUUGCCGGUGCCGGUGCUGGAGCUGGAGGCCUAGGUGCAAAUAUUUGCAAUGGUUGAAGAACUUGAUCGAUUUGAUAAACAGCAAGCUGACCAUCAGUGUAAAUAGUGCCGGAAACACUGGUGUUUGUCAACCCUGUUGUUAUAUUCACGGAGUUCCCCGAAGUGGUGAUAUUGAGAGGGAACUUGCCAUCGCCACUAUCACCAGCUUGGGUUCUCAAAGGAUUGCUAAUGGUUUGGAACUGAGACGAGGUGAGGUAUGUUGGGACGAUGUGGAAUUGCACCAGCUCCACUUUUUGUUCAUCGGUGAGUGAAUUCAAUGUGCCCGAUUUAAGGCUGGAGAAAGCAUUGUCCGUUGGUGCAAAAACGGUCAUACCAUUGUUGGAAUUGUUGAGCUGACCGAGCAGCUGGUUGGCCACUUGAGUGGACUUUAGAAGACGAAUGAAGAGGGUGAAUUGAC
RNAcentral lists this long non-coding RNA (64797 nucleotides) under Gossypium barbadense (sea-island cotton). RNAcentral's name for it is "long non-coding RNA (GBAR_LNC008389)". The record is from RNAcentral. Lineage: Eukaryota; Viridiplantae; Streptophyta; Magnoliopsida; Malvales; Malvaceae.